GUAUAUAAAAUCAAACUGCUGAUUUAAAUAUUCAGAUAUAAUAAUUAAACAAAGGUUCUGCAUACAAACAAAAGGUUGUACUGAAAUAAAUUUAAGACUACACGAAACAAAGGUUCUGGUGAAUGAAAAUUUUGAACUAAAUGUUGUAGAUAUUAAAUAAUUUAACUAAAUUUAAAUUGGACGACGUUUAGCCAUAAUCUCCUUCUGCAUCAUCUCCACCCAUUCACGCUGAAUCGUGGAAAGGGAGGUAGUGUCCGCAAACAUUAUUUCUUUCUCUUGCUUAAUCAAGUCGGCUUCGGCUCUUGUCUUCUCUGAAGCAGCUCUUGUCUUCUCUAUCUCUAGUGCUUCUCUAGCUCUUUGUUUCUCUAGCUCUAGUGCUUCCUUGUCUAGCUCAAAAGACAACAUAAACCUCUCAUUCUUAGCCUUCUCUUUUUCAAUGUCCGCAGCCUCCUUCUUUGCCCACAUCUUAUCAAUGGCCUCCAAGCAAGCUUCGCCACCACCUCGCCUUAGCUUUUCUUUAGCCUUCUUGACCCCAUCUGAUCUAAUCCUUGUACUUGGUUGUGCAGCAUCAUCAUCGCCAGCUUGCCCGUUGUUGGUUCCUUCCUCUUCCCUUGGCCGAGCCACCUUGGUGGACUUUUUUUUGGUUUUGUUUCCUGAUGCUGCUUGUUUCUCUAGCUGCAGAAGUUCCUUCCUUUUGAUUUUCCACUUGUCCUCCUCCUUCAGUAUGUUGUAAUAUGACACAACGCUGCACUUCUUCCCAUCCAUUUUUUCUACUCCCGAGAACAUCUUGAGGGCAGCUGCGAUCUGCACAAGUAGUAUGUCAAUAUAUGUAGCUGUCGUAAACAGAACAAGAUGAAAUUAAAAUUUGAAGAUAUAGUACCCUGUCUUGUAUAGUUGUACCACUUUAUUCCUACGUUCAAUCGCUUCCAAACACGAAGUGAACUUGUUCACUGCGGUCUGAAUUGAGAGCCAUCUAUGCAGAAGUGAACUCUCUGUCCUUGGAGUUGUACCCUUAUUGUGCUCCCAAAAGUAAGCAUGAACCUUACCCCAAAAGUUAGUACGGUUUUGGUUGGCUCCGUGAAUUGGAUCUUUGCUAGCGACCAACCAUCCUUCACAAACAAUUUCGUCUUCCUCCACACUAAAAUUUUUGGCCCUCUUCGAUCCCUUGUUACCACGAGAAGCAACAACUUCCACCUCGGGGCUAGCCUGAGUAUCCUGUGGAGUCAGUGGAAUGACAAGGUCGUCCAAACCUGAAACAUGGUCACCUUCUCCAUCCAGAAGAAUCCCCGACAAGAAAUCUUCUCCUUGUGGAUCCAUCUAAAUGAGUCUGAAAUAAGAUAUACAAGACCAUUCAAGAGAGAACACCGUAAAAUAUAUAUACACAAACUUUACUGAACAAUACCAUCCGAUGAAUCAGCAAAUAUAUGCAUUAAUAUAUGCAGUACAUCGUGAAAUAUAUACAAUAUUCUUUCCCAGCUUCUGUUCUGAAUUUUCAGAGGUGCCAUUCAGACUGUUCGUGUCAUUUUCAGAAGUUCUUUACCUGCUUCUUCUUUUGUCAUAUUAAAGUUUGCCCUUCAUUACAGGAGACCGUGAAUGGUUGGGGGCAAUCAGAUGCAGAUGAAUCGUCUGAAGUGCUUAUUCUCAUAAUAGAUUUAGAGUCAAUUCAAUAGGCUGAAAGUGCUGAACAGUGCGUCAAGUCAUACUAAUCUAGAUUAAAGUUACUUAAAAUUCGCUCAUGGGCAACACGUAGAUUUGCCAGCACGCUGAUUCAGAGAACAUGCUGUAUCGCCCUACAGGAAACACGUACAUGCAGUUUAUCUGCUUAUUAGGUGACCAAUGUUCCAAGAAAAGGAGGCACAAAGACAAACCACUCUUGAAGGCUCAUCGAACUGAUUAUGUACGUAUGCAGUACGUGUGAACUGAACUGAUCUGUCAUGUAUAUAUACUAGUAGGAUCGAUGUGUCUGAGUGAUGUAGAAUGAAACAAUCAGAUGGAUAUAGCGAACCUUAGACAAUGGACGAGGCCCUGGCGGGAUCCAAACAAUGGACGAUGGACGAGGCCCGACAGACCGAUGCAUACCUGAUCACACGGCGGCGGCGGCGGCGGGGCACAACUUCAGAUCGAGAUGAGCACCUGGUCGCGAUGGACCUUCAGACGACGGCGAUCUGGGAGGAAGGGCGCGGCGACCUUCAGACGACGGACAGUUUCACUUGUCGCGCGGGAAAGGGAAAGAAGAAGAGAGAUCGCGCGUUGCCAAGCGAGUCCGCGCGGCGGAUAGCUGCGAGCGCGGCUCAUGAUUUUGCCAAGCGUGUCAAUUUGCCAAAUGUGUUUGCCAAACUGUUGGAGAUGCAUUUUUGCCACUUUGGUCAAUUUUUCAAGGAUGCCAAGUGCUUUUUGUCAAUUGUUGGAGAUGCUCUAAGGGCUCUGUUUGUUGCUCCUAAUUAGUAGUUGAAGUGUGGUGCCCUUCAGUGAAUAGGGGCACUGUUUGUUUUCUUAAUUAGGUGCCCUUCAGUGAAUAAGGGCACUAUUUGUUUAAUUAAUUAAUAGUUCAAAAGUGUGGUAGUACUAGGGUAAUAAACUUAUCUAUAUAUAUGAGCAGGCACCAGAUGGGUGUGGGUUUUCAUCUAGAAUGUGGGUAACUUAUCCCCUGACCUCUAUUGAGUGUACCUUGCAUAUUUGUUUGUCUUUUUUCCCCAUGCAUGUUUAAGUGGUUGAAUUCUACUAGCAAGUCUAUUGCAACAUUGUGUCAGCAACAACCAUUGGUUACAACUUACAAGUACAUUGCGUCAGUCAGUACUGUCAGUCUUGUUAGCGGAAGAGAAAAAGGCUGCUUCCUCAUCUAGAGUAUUCACCGUCGUUGGUCCUUCGCGUUCUGGUUUGGUCUUUGGUGGGACGUUGUUGCGCCCGUUCGGCUGUGCUACUGUUCGUCGUUACCGAUGGCAUGGCCCUGUGAAUCUGCUGGUUCUGUUGCUUGUGUUUGUUACUGAAUGGUAGCCUGGAAUGGCAUGAGACCCUGUGAAUCGCUGACAUUUACGGUAAGCACACAUAGCAAGCGAUCCAGAUAAUAAUUGAUAAGUAUGCGCGUUCCUUCUUUGUUUCUUUGUUUUGGGCUUAAUGAAUUUGGAUGGAGAGAGAGAGAGAGAGGGGUAAGAUAUGCAUGAUCUCUGCAGCUGAAAGCCUGAAACUAGAUACGUACAAGUCCAGGUUGCUUGCUUUUACCUUUUAUUUCUCUCCUUGGUUUCAUUGUUGGCCUCGUGAGCUUGCUAGAGCUGCUACUGUAUAUGUAGCUGUCGUUAUUUCAGAAUCAGCUGAAGUAUUCGAUCUUGUGAUCGUAUGAAAGCUAGCACGGUCAGGUCAGAUCGUUAUGUAGAGAUGGAAUUGGAUUGCGAUGCCUGAUCAAACAUGGGACCGAAAGAAUCAAUUGUUAGAACCUGAGAUGCAUGGGCCAUCACUCUUCAGUCAUGACUGAUGAUACAUGAGGUUAGAAGAUAAUCAAAACAGAAAGAAACAAAGAAAAAUUCAAAAAAGUGUUGCAUAAACGACAUCACCAGCUAGCUGAUCGACCAAAACCACAAGAAAUGAGUGAGCGAGGCCGUUUUCAGCUGAAGACGUUUUCAGCGGUUGACAGACUGGGAGGAGUGCUAUAGCUAGGUGUCUCCAUUGCCGAACGAAUCACCCUGCACUGUGUGUUGUGCUCUGCUUUUAUCUUAACUCUGAAGUACCAAUUACCAAAGAGAUCGAGACGUUGUUACUUUGUUAGACUUGGCUCAUUUGCGAUCUUCAGUGUUAUAUAUUUUGCACGUGAUGAAAAACUCAAAAAAUUUAAUUUCAAAUGUAGAAAUACAUGAUUUCUACAGGCGGUUUAGUUAAGAAAACCGCCUGUAGAAAUAUGAUUUUUAGUGGCGUCACAGACGGUUCGUAGUUCUGACAACGCUCUUUUUACACCAUAGGCGUGUGAUAACUACAACCGCUUGUAGUAUAAAAAAGAGGCGUUUCACCAGUGCUUCACGCUAACGUGAAUCCUACUAAUAUAAGCCUGUCUAUGUCAUUUGGUUCUCUUGGAACUAGAUUUAUGGCCACUGACGUUUCCCGGUCUCAGCUCUAUCGUCCAAUCCAACCAUCGAUGUCUUCUACAGUAUCUCACAUGCUCAUCAUGAUCCUGUACAAUCCACCACGCUUGAUCCUGUACACCUGCAAGUGCAAUCUGAGAGCGGGGCUCAGGUGGCUCUCACAAUUCAUGGGGUCAAGUCAACAUUGGAUUUGGAUGGGCUCUAGAAACAAUAGGCCCAAGGAAAAAAAAAAUAUCCUGUAGGACAUUCCCGCCACGGGCGCGUGGUUGUGUCUCUCAGCUCUAUCCAGGCCGCUGUGUGUUAGUUAGCUAGCUACUUUCGAGGUUUGAGCCCACAAAGAAACUGCUACGCCGCCCACAUGGACUGCGAUGGAGAUGGAGGACACGCACUAGGGCCAAACUACUCCGGUCCUAAAAUAAUAAUCAUAUUUUAAAUAUAUAAUUUUGGCUAACAAUUGUUUAAGUUAUAUACAAGUUCAGAUAUGAAUCUUGUACUGUAUCAAUGUACUGGAUUGUAUUUAAAAUGCAAAAAGUUUUUAGAUCUAAACAAGGUUUCACUUUAGGCCAGUCUCAAUGGAAGUUUCAUAUGAGUUUCAUUUGCAUUAAAUAGGUUGUCACAUACUCCCUCCAUACCCAAAAAACCUGACGUUUAGGACAUGAUUGUGGUAACCAAGGAGUAAUUAAUUAGGGGUUAAUUUUCCUUCUUUGCCCUUAAUAAAUAAGGUUGUUGUUGCCCUCUGUACGAGAAAGUUAAUCGGCUUAACUGGUUAGUGUGCGAAGCUCUCGGAGCUGCGUCUCCGGUUCGAACCCCGGUAGCCUCAUUUUUUAUUUUUGGCCUGGUGUGCAAGACCAAGGGAGGCGUUGCAUGGGACCUGGUGCUGUGCAGGUGCGGUUAAUGCUGCAUGGCGAUUGGGCCUGGUGCGGCGGCAAAGGCAGCUGGUGCGGCAGAUGUAACAUCCCGGAUGUUACGGAUACUAAAACUGGAUCAUGUCAUCAUAAGCAUUACAAAGCAUAUUUGUUAAGCACAUUAUUAUGCAUCAAAUUAAAACAAGUUUAUUUUGAUUGCUUGUGCUUAGGGAAGUAAAGUGUGCUUAUGUUGUGAAGUGAUGCUUGUGUUGGUUGUAUAAUCCCUAGGGUGAAAGAUUUCCGAGAAAAUGGGGGGGAACCCUGAUUUUUGAACCCCAGUUUUGCCCCCUUUUUCACAAUUUAAAAACCAAGCAAAAUUUGAAGUUAAGUUCAAAAGCAAAGUUGUAGAUCUUGUCAAGAUGUACAACUUUGGUGUUUUGAGUUUUUUAAGUUUCAAUACAAAAUUUAAAGUAAUUUUGAAAAUACAGAUUUCCAGAAAGUGUCCCCUUUUCCAAAUUGAACCUCCAAUUCAAAAUCUAUUUGGAAUUUUGAAAAGUGACCAACAUUAAAGUUGUAGAGCUCAAAAAGUUGAACAACUUUCGUGUUGGGAGUUUUUCAAGUUGUUGAGAAAAAUCAAAAGUAAUUUUAGAAUUUCUAAUCUGCCCCAUUUCAAAAUUGGAAUUUCCCCAAUUUGAGAUUUGAAAUUCAAACUGUUUUGAUUAAAUUCAUCACCUUCCUUUCGAAAUCUGAAUUUGAGUCUUAAAUGAAUGUUGUAGGCAAUUUUGUGCUGCACAUUUCUUGCUUUGGUAGAUUUCUGAGUUUUUAUACAAAAUAAAAAGUAAUUUUGGAAAUAGAAAAGGGGAGGAUAAGAAUGCUACAGUACAUCACCAAUGGGAGCAGGGCACGGCGACCCUGCUCGGUGGCGUUGCUUCCCCACGUCACCUCGAGCAUGGCUGACACGCAGCUGCCUGCUUGGUUGAAGUCACCGUGAUAUGGACGAGUUGAAGGCAUCCUCCACCAUCUCCAAUUCCCUGACCGGCUUUCUUUCUCUCCGGAGCCGGCAGAAACGCCGCUGCCACCCGCCACCGUGGUCAGCCCUCCUCUGUGCUUCUCCACCACUUCUGAGCAGCUUGACGAAGUCGUGCUGAGUCCCCGAUGCUCCCCAACUCUUCUCCUCGCCUUCCCGGCAGCCGGAGCGCCACGUUUUCCCCUAAGCCCCGUCCAGAGUUCCGCCGGUGUCGCUGUUCACGUGGCCAUGCCUCCACAGACCACCUCUGGCCAAGUAGAGGGAACCAGAGGGUGUGCGUGAGUCCAGGUGAACUCCCCCGCUGCUCCACUGCCGCCGACGAGCACUCCAACGCCGAAACUGCGAUCUCCGACGAGCUGCUCUGUUUCCAGUUCGCGACCACGGACUUCGCGCGACAAUUUGAAGUUCUCCAGGGGUCUAAUUGCAUAGACCGUGACUCAGGUGAAUAGUGCUAUAAGAACUUGUUUGUAGAUGUUUUGUUGAAUCUUUGAAAAUUCAUAUCUAGAGUUUCGUAGCUCCAAUUUUGGUGAACCAAAUUUUGUUGUGCUCCUUGAAAUGUCUAGUUUUUAUUAAAAAUAUGGAACUGACUAUGUUUUAUAGUAAAAUAAUUAGUUAUGAAUUAUGUCUUUUAAUUAUGCUUAAAAGGAAGAAAUUCAUAUCUAUUGCUGUAUAGCUUCUUUUAAGAUGAAACUUUUAUGGUAGACUAAUGAUUAUGUUUAUGUGCUGUGGUUAAGUUUUUAGAUUCAUUGGAUGACAUAUGAUUAAGUUAUUAAUUUAUCUUGUGUAGUGCUUAUUAAAUAGUUUACAAUUAAACUAAAAAUGAAUAAAUGUAAAAUACAGUUCCUCUGCCUUUAUAUGAGGUUGUUAUAACAUAUAGAUACAUAAUUUAGCUAUGUGUUUGUAUAAAUUGUUGAGUUUCUUAUUUAUCUUGCCGUUACAUGCUUCCUUGUGAUGGAAAUUUAUCUUUUUCAUAGAAAUUGCUAUACUUAUCCAAAUGGCAUGAAACUUAUACAGUAGACUUUGGAGAGCAUAUAUGAGCUGCUGUAGUUUUCUCAGAAUUUACUGUGUACUUUUGAUAUAUGGUUAUUGCUUUGUCUAUUUACCUAAAUAAAUUAAUAAAAACAUGAAAGGAAUUUAUUUAGGGAUGACCAUGAUGUUUUCUAGUAUCUCUUUGAUGUAUUUCAACUAUUGGUGAGCUGGGUUUUGCCCAGGUCCAAGUUUGAAACAUAAAUGAAAUGUUAUUUGUCUAUAAUUAAAUUAUUAGUGAUUUCUGGACAGUUUCUGGAACCUUAUGAAUUGCUCUAGGUAGAUAAUGAUGGAUGUGAAACUUGUCUAUAACAAAGUUGUAUAUAAUUCAUGUAUCUACCUGGUGUUAAAUUUUAGUGGCAUUUGGCCCUAUAGUUUCUGAGUUAUGCCUGUUUAAAGUUAAGUUUCAGAAAUGGUUCCUCUCUGUCAAAUUCUGGAUCAGUUUCUGUAGUUGUGCAAUUUCAACCUACUAAACUUAUGAAUCAUGCUUUCAUGAUAAAAGAUGAAUUGUAGUAAUGUUCAUAAGCUUUCCAAAAUGUUAUGGAUCAUGAAUUUUGGUGAUCUAGAACUCUGGUUAUAGAUGUAUGAAGCUUAAUGUCUGAUUCUGUCCAAGGUCUGGACAGAAUUGUUUAUUCAUACUGUUUGGCCAUUUUAUCUUUCAAAUCAGUUCUCGAAGAUAAUAACAAAGUUGUAGAAAAUUAUCUAAGCUUUCCAGAAAGUCUAAUAUCACCUUUAUUGGAUGUUUGGAUCUCUAAUUAUGGUUGAAUGAAGUUGUGUAUAUGCUGCUGUCCUGGUUAUGUGUGCAAAUAGAGUUAUUUGUUUUUAGCUAGCCUUUACUUAAAUAAUGAGUUGCUUAAUUUCCAAAUUAGAAUUUGAGUGCUUUUGGGAUUGUGUGAUGACCUAAGGUCAUUAACAUUAAUGACCUUUGGCACUUAAUUAUUGUUUGAUGUUAAUACUUAAUUACUGCCAUUAAUAUUUAAUUAAGAAUUGAUUAAGAUAAAUAGAAAACCUAAUCAUUUUAGGUUUUGAUUGGUCUUUGGGAUUGAUUGAUAACUAGUGGUUACUUGGCAUGAGAUCUACACAACCUUGCUUAAUGAAGAUGAUAAAAUUUGUUUAGUAGUAAUCUAUGUUUUGAUAACUAAGUUAGUUUGUUUCUAUACCGUGAAGGUAAGUUGUACUCGAGGCAGUUAUGUUUGUUGUUAUCAUCCAAGAACUUGUAACCUGUCUUUAUCAUGUCAUGAACAUCUCAUUGAUCAUGCAUAUGCACCUCUACGUGUAGACUACGCUCCGGAGGAAUCUAAUCCUCAGUGGGUUGCUUCCGAGUUUGUGGAUCCAUCUGGUUUUGCUGAGUUGUCGGACUUCCCUUCCGGUCAAGGCAAGCCCCGGACAUUAAACCCUAUCCUUGUAUUUUCAUAAAGUCAUUUAUAUCACUUGAGUUAAUAUGAUGCAUUAGGUGAAUAGGAGUUGAGUGAAUCCUAUUUGCUGCAUUACCUACCUUGGUGAUUCUUAUAUUAACCUUGACACCUGUUUAUGAAAAUGCUUAGUAUGCUUAGCCCUGCUUAGUAGAUAGGUUUUCAAAUGAGAAAGUUUGAAGGGUUGUUGUGGAAUACUUUUAUGGUCAAUAAUGUUUCAACUUGAGACCGGUCGGUGGACUUGCUUUAAGAAUGGAGUCUUAAAGUAGUGUCUCCAACUGUGUCGAUUAAGGACCGUACCGUUGUUGGCCUGUUGUGAUUGAGAACUUUGAGUACAGCCCACAUGCGGCGGUAAGCCUUACCUAUAGCUAUUCCGAUACUUGAGAACGGCUAACCGCGUACUGGGAGUGGAGAGAUGGCGAGAGUAGCGUGUACCCACCUUACGGAUCUGAGAUGACCGGGAAACAUCUAGAUUGGCUGUAGGAUGGUGGUGUACUGUACUCUCGGGUGACGCUGGACCCGUUCUUGUAUGGGAGGAUCUAUAGAAACAGGUUGACAUAUGCAAGAUUAAGUUCUACAUAUGUCGUGUGGUACUGAAUCCCCAGCUGGGUUUAAUCGAUUCGAAUCGCCGUGUUUCCUCGGAUAUGGAGCCUCAAUCCUCACCCCAUCAUCGUAGUGAUAAAUAAACUUUGGUAUAAGAAAGAGGUGGUUUGCUUAUGAAAGUUUGAUAAUAGUUUUGGUUAGUCAUAAAUGAUGAUCUUGAGUUAAAACUUGAAAGUAGGUUUUACUCUUAGUAAGCUUUUAUGCAAAAGAAAUGCUUUAUCUUGAUAAAGCUUUACCUUGAAUCCCUAUAGCCUGCAUACCUGAGUCUUCACCUCUUUUCUAGUCGGUUAAGUCUUGUUGAGUACUUUUGUACUCAGGGUUUUAUAACCCCUGUUGCAGGUGCUGACUUAGACUGCUAAUGGAGGUCAUGUCGGUGGGCGCGACAUGAUUUAUCCACCUCUUCUACCUUAGAAGCUUCACCUAAGAUGCUUCCGCUACUCUAUACACCUUUUGGAAAUUUAGUUAAGUUUAUACUUCAUCAUAUGUUGUAAAUUAAGUUAUAAAUCUUCCGCACUCUGAUCUAAGUUAUUUUUGUAACAAAUGUUGUAAUGUUGUGGUAACUCCAUGUUGAUCCUGUAUGAGUUAAAACGUGGAUGAUUCGGGUUUCCCGAGGACACCCGACAGACUUCUUGAGUCAUUUGGAACUCGUGCACACCGAUCAGAAGUCUUUGAGACAAUGAUAGGUGCAUGUGGGCCACUUAAUUCAGGAGGUUCUGCCACAGCAGAUCAAGGGAGGCGCCGUCCAGGUUCCAUUAAUGAGGAUCGAAAGGAUCGAGGCGCUGCGAGUGAGACAGUUGCGAGCCUGACGGGAGGGAGGGCAAACGCGUCCAAAUCAUCUUCUACCGUAGAACGUCAGGUUUUAUAAAAACAGUGAGGGAGCUUAGAACGUCUACUUUUUUGGUAUAGAGGGAGUAGUCUUUUUGAUGACAUGGCGGUGUAUUUAAGAAGAGAGAAAAGAAAUGAGAAUUCUCUUGGCACGAUUACCAACUCUCUAUGAGUCUUGGAAUUAAAUGUCUAUGAAACUAUAAAAUGAAACUCUCCAUUGAGAGUGGGUGUUUCAUCCAAAUUUCAUUUCAUUUCACAUGACAUAGCAGUCUUGGAAACAACGUCACGAAACUCCCAAACUGAGACUGGCCUUAAAAAAUUUGAGUCUUCUUUAGACGGUUACCUUUGGUCAUCCUUAUAUGUUUGGCUAGAUACUUUAGACCUUAUUUAGUUCCCAAAAUUUUUUGUAAAAUUUUUCAGAUUCCGUGUUAUAUCGAAUCUUUAGACGCAUAUAUGAAGCAUUAAAUAUAGACGAAAAUAAAAACUAAUUAUACAGUUUAUAUGUAAUUUGCGAGACAAAACUUUUGAGGCCCAGUUAAUUCAUGAUUGGACAAUAAGUGCUACAACGUCCAUUUUGUAAAAAAAAAACUAAACAAGGUCUUAAUUAGUUAGUAAGGUUGUGUAAGUACCUUUUUCCCUUUUAAUGGAAAAAAAUUACCCACCGUGGAGAUCUUUGCCGUUCAAAAAAAAGUUAUUAUUGGAGAUGCCUGAGCUUUGUAAAAUAUCGGUGACUAUUGGAGCUGACGUGUACAGCAGAGAGGGCGAGGUGGGCCGGGGGAGUAUGGAACCAGAAGGACCGACGACGCUGUGUUUGGAAUUAUUAGCAUCAAUGGCGUCGUCGUCUUUAAUUUGUGUGUCAUCGCCGUCCAACGAGCAACCACCAACCUACUCAAUUGACGCGUGCAAUUUAAGGGUACAGUAAAUGCAGUCUAAGCAUGGCCAUCACGCCGGCGCCGGCUAUAAUCACGACGGCCAUUAACGAUAAAAAAACAAAACAAUCGCCCAUGGGUGUCUCUCUUGUUGAAUUGUUGCGUACUCUCUCUAUUUUAAAAUAUAAGACGUUUAACUUUUCAAUUCUAAAUUUAAUUACUUAUUUUAAUUAUAAACUAAUUAGAUUUUAAAAAUGUAUCUCGCGUUUUUCAUACAAGUACAAACUCUAUGCAUAUGAUAGGUUGCCUGGGUGUGAGAACUACUACAUCCGUCAAUUCGGCAUGCAGACCCUGCAUUUACGCGGUCAAGUUGGUGACGGAUACCUUCGGGUUAUCGGAGACUACAUACGGACUGUACUGCACACUCUAGCUAGCUAGCUAGUGCCAACAGUCGCCGGUAUCUGUCGCACCAUGCAUUAUUGAGGGCUGCACCAUACCAUACCAUAUGUGUCGCGCGCGUCCCUGCCACCCGCCCGUCCGCGCCGGCUAUAAAUGAGCGACGAGGCGAGCCGGGCCUCUUCACUCGGUGCGGUGCGGACACCACAAAUAAACACCAUAUAUCCAGCUCGAUCGAUCGACGAUAAACAACAACACAUGGCGAAGCAGCAGCAGCAGGCGAUGGCGCUGCUGAUGAUGCUGGUGCUGGCUGCGGAGACGGCGUCGGCGGCUUCGUGCAACGCGGGGCAGCUGACGGUGUGCGCGUCGGCGAUGUUGUCCGGGGCGGCGCCCUCGGCGGCGUGCUGCUCCAACCUCAAGGCGCAGCAGGGGUGCUUGUGCCAGUUCGCCAAGAACCCCGCCUACGCGCGCUACGUCAACAGCCCCAACGCGCGCAAGACCGUCGCCUCCUGCGGCGUCGCCCUGCCGCGCUGCUAAGCCGCCACCAGCCCUCAUCACGGCUGCUGCCAGCGCCGCUCUCUCGAGCGUAUCUGCGAGGAAUAAAGGAUGGGUUAUUCGUCCAUGCACUUUGCCGUCUGCCUGGCUGCUCCCAUCCCUGCUUAUAUUAUAUAUGCUCUUGUGUAUGCACGUUUGUGUAAUGUGUGUCCAUCGAUAUAAAUAUAUUAUAUAUAAUACCGGUCCAGUUUGUCACAACGGCUUUAGCUUCAACAGUAACUUUAAUUUACCAUUCAAGGUAAAGCUAUUUGCUGGAUAAAUCAUUUGACAAACCAGAUUUAUACACAUAAACCCUUUAAAAACAUGCUAAACAAAAUCAACACAUGGCCUCACAAGAAUAAUUUGAAACUGGAAAAAGCUAAUAUUUUUAGCUUCACCUCGUACAAAUCUUUUGCGAGAGCAUAUUUCUUAAAAAAAUAUCCAUUUAAUAUAAAAAAAAUUCAAACAGCUCUGUCGAUGUUUUACCACUAAUAGCCUACGACGGGAGUAAUCAGAACAUUUGUUCGGGCUUCGAUGUAUGUUGGAACUUAACAACAAACACAAGAGACAGACGAUUUAUCCUAGUUUAGACUUUCGAGUUUAAUCUCGAGUAGUAGCCUUUAUGUCCGAUCGGCGUUAGACUUUGCGUUGUAUUGGGUGUAUUGUAUUGUUCGUAGUUAUAAGAGCAAGGCUAAUGAUUUAGCCGGCUGAAGGCUGUAUAGCAAUGCCAUGUCACAUAAAGCCCCUGCUACAGCCGGCUCAUAUAAUAGGUUGGCUGUUAGGCUAGUUGUAUUACAGAGCUAAUAUUUAAUGACUGAAGAUGUAUAUCAUCUGCUGUUGUCUGUAUCUUUGUAGCCAUCCAUCAAACUACUAAGGUCGCUUGUUUGAUAAUCAAGAUAAAGGCUUCACAGAUUGCCAUGCUGCUCCAUCGAUGGCCGGUUUUGAUGACAGGCAGUAGUCAGGAAAGAACAGAGCAAUAUUCCUAAAAUUAAAAAAAUUCAAAUACAUCUCACUAAAGAAUAAUCAGGUAAAAUUGAUGAGCAAUGGAAGAUGCAUAUUAUGCUUUGCAUUCAAGCAAUAGGUCCGUACGACAUGAUAGGCUGAGGUUGCGAGCUUGCGGCGGCGGUCGGACAGGCUACCGCUGAGUGACGCCGGCAAGACCUCGAGAGGUAGUGAGGCACCGCGACGUCGCAGGUCGGUCCGAUGCCAUCCGCCAUGGCUGAAGAUUCGCCCCGCCGCCGAAGAGCAGCUAGUCGCCCAGCCCCGUGCGGUCCAGCCGCGCGGACGAGUCCCCACCGCCGCCGAGCAACCCAGCUUUGCGCGGCUCCGCCAGUGCUGCCGGACACGCAGCCACCGUACCCCAGCCCGUGCGGGCGCGCCCCACGCUGACACGAGAUUUGCCGUAGGAAGAGAGGGAAGGCGCGGAGUCCGCACGGGAUCGAGUGGGAGAAAACGUGAGGAGAGAAACGUCGGCUUAGCGCUUGCAGCUGGCUGGAAACGGGCGGUAUCAGGCUAUUCAGCCGGGGGAAGAGUUGGAUUCUUCCCGUCCGAACGUUCGGACGGGAGCGUCGGUCCGAUGAUUGCCGCGCGACGUUCCCGCGCGAUGGCCGUCCUCCCGCGCGUGGACGCGAGCAGCCGCUAGCACGGACGACGGUUUUUAUUCCAGGUAAGUGCGUUUGUUUUCCCUUUUGUUUCCUUUUUUUUUUCUUUUUUCCUUAUUUUAUCUUCUUUUCUUUUUCUUUAUUAUUUUUUCCCUCUCAUUCGCUGUUGUCUAGUUUUUUUCUUUUUCUUUAUGUUUCUUUUCCUUUUUUCUUGGUAUUUUUAUUUUCUUUAUUUUUUUUGUUUCUUUCCUUUUUUUUCUUAUUUUCUUUUUAUAGCUACAAUUUAAUUUUACUUUAACUUUUUUUGUUUAUCUUAUUUUUUGUUUUACUUUUUUCAUGUGAUUUACAUUAUUUUUUUAGUUUUUUAUCUUAUUAUUUCUUCUUUUUUGUUUUUACUACAAUUAACUAUUAUAUUUGUUUUACUUUAUUUAUUUUUAUAUUUUAUUCUUUUUUGUAUUUAUUUAUUUUUCUUUUAUCUUUUAUCUUUAUGUUUUCUAUAGUUCAUUAUUUUCUAUUUUUCAUUUUUUUCUUACAUAAAUAUUUUAUUUGUUUAAUUUUUUAUUUUUUAUUUUUUGUUUCUUCUCUAAUUAGGUUUUGUUUUAUUCAUGUUUUUUAUUUUUUUUAAUCUUUUUUAUUGUUUAACCUUUUUAUUUUUUCUUUUGUUUUUUUGAGAUUUUUCUUCUUUUCAAGCAUCUUCUAUUUUUAUUUCCUUUUUAAAGAUAUUUUAUGUUGUUUUUUUAUGUUUAUGUAUGAUGUUUUAUUUUUUUUAUGUUUACAUGAUAUAUGUAGUGUUUUAUGAUGUUUUUUUAUGUUCGCUAACAUACAUAUCAUGUUCUUGUAAUAUAUAUGUGAUGUUCUACAGUAUUUUUUGUGAUGUUCACAUAGUACAUAUACGAUGUUCUACGAUUUAUUUAGUGAUGUUCUAUAAUGUAUUUAAUGAUGUUCUAUGUUGUAUUUAGUGAUGUUCCAUUAGUAUAUAUGUGAUCGUCAUGUAAUAUAUAUACGAUGUUCUAUAAUAUUUUUAGUAUCAUAUAUUUAGGGGGUGUUUGGUUGCUACCCACAAUUUGCCACACUUUAACUUAGGCAAGUUUGACCAAGUUGGUAAGUGUUUGGUUCACAACUAAGCUUAGGCAUGAUUCUUUUGGGCUCCACAUGUCAUUGAGUUAAAAAGUGUGGCAAGAUUCCUUUAGGCAUGACAAAGUGUGGCAACCAAUUUGCUAGCCACACUUUUUGUGGCUUGCCACACUUACCUAAAGUUAGUUGUGGUAGAUUGUGGCUAGCAACCAAACAUCCUCUUAGUGAUGUUGACAUAAUAUAUAUGUGAUAUUCUGUAAUAUUUUAGGAAUGUUCUAUGGUGUAUUCUGUGAUGUUCGCGUAGUAUAUAUAUGUACGUUCUUACAGUAUACAAUGAUGUUCUAUGAUGUAUUUUAUGAUGUAUUUUCUUUUAUGUUUCUUUUAUUUUUCCCUCCCGAUCGUUGCUGUUAGUUUUCUUCUCUUUUUUUGUUUCUUUUUUCUUUUUUCUUUUUCUUUUUAUUUAUUUAUUUAUUUCCUUUUCUUUUUUUUCUUUUUUCUUUUAUUUUUUCUUAUUUUAUUUUAUUUUUCUUUAUCUUUUCAUUUUCCUUCCUGCCCGUUGUUGUAUAGUUUUCUUUUUUUGUUUCCUAUUUGUUUUUUCUUGGUAUUUUUCUUUAUUUUGUUUUUUUUUCUUUUUAUUUUUCCCUAAUUCAUGUUUAUAGAUUCAAUUUAUUUUUAUUUUUCUUUUAUGUUAUUUUAUAUUUUUAUCUUUCUUUUAUUUUUUCUCUUUAUUUUUUUAUUCCUUUUUGUGCUUCAUUUUUUCCCUUUCUUUUUUUCAAUUUUUAUUUCAUUCAUCUUUUUAUUUUUUUGUUUCUUUUGGCAAACAUUAAUUUAGUGCUGGUUACAAAGGUGUUUAUUAGAUUAUUUUUUGUGGAAUACAUACAUGCAUGUGAUUGAAACGCUACAAACGUCUUGAUAUUGAUCUUAUGGUGGUUGUUUAAUUUUUUUAGUGGACUAAUAUCAUAGGAAGCGAGUGAUAUUAUUUUUCGUUUCUGUUUCAUUCAAUUUUCCAUAUUAUUUUUAAUUUUAUUUUUUAUUACUAUCAUUAAUUAGUUUUAUUUAUUCUUUUUUAUUUCUUUUUUGUCUUUAUGUUUUUAUAGAUUUUUUAUUUUUCUACUUUAUCUUACUUAAUUAUUUUUUAUAUUUACUUUUUUCUUUUCUAUAUUUCAUGAGAUGUGAUGUAAAAUGAUGUUUUUUGCAGCGUUCAUGUGGUAUACAAUGCCAUUUUUUGAUGUUUUUUUAUGAUGUUUAUGUAGUAUAUGUAAUGUUCUAUGGUUUUUAUGAUGUUCAUGUGUUAUAUAUGUAAUGUUCUAUGAUAUUUUUUUAUGUUCGUGUUAUAUUUUUGUGAUGUUCUACGAUUUUUUUGUGAUGUUCGUGUAAUAUAUAUCUGAUAAUGCAAUAUUCUAUAUUGUAUUUGGCGAUGUUCUAUAUUGCAUUUGGUGAUGUUCGAUGGUUUAUUUAGUGAUGUUCACUUAGUAUAUAUGAUGAUGUACAUAGUGAUAUUCACGUAAUAUAUAUGUGAUGUUCUAUAGUGUAUUUAAUGGUGUUUUAUAUCGUAUUUAGUGAUGUUCUAUGAUGUAUUUAGCGAUGUUCAUGUUAAUGUUCGAUAGUGAAUUUAGUGACGUUCAUUUAGUAUACAUGUGAUGUUUUUUUUGAUAUAUUUAGUGAUGUUCAGGUAAUAUAUAUACGAUGUUCUAUAAUGUAUUUAGUAAUGUUCUAUGGUGUAUUUAGUGAUGUUCACUUAGUAUACAUGUGGUGUUCUAUGAUGUACUGAGUGAUGUUUAUGUAAUGUAUUUGUGAUGUUCUGUAAUAUAUUUAGUGAUGUUCCGUAAUGUAUUUAGUUAUGUUCACUUAACAUACAUGUGAUGUUUGCCUUUUAUUUUUUCCAUAUUCCAUUGUAUAUGGUAUACACAUGAUGAAUGAGAUACUGUAUGAUUAUCUUUAAGUAUUUUCACAACAUAUUAUGUAGUAUUCAUACAACAUGUUAUGUAGUAUUUAUACAACAUGUUAUGUAGUAUUUUCCCAUGGUCCAUAUGUUAUAUUAUACACAUGAUGUUCUACUUGUGUAAUGUUAUUUAUUAUAUAAUUAUAUAUUUUUAUUUUAUUUAUUUAUCGGUAUUAUAAUACCAAUCAUUUAAGUGUGUUUUCAUAUGGAUAUUGUUUUUUCUAAAUUUAAAAUAUUUUUUUGUGAAGGCGGAAUAUUGUUUUAUGAAUCUAGAACACCACCUUUAUUCAAUAAUAAAAGAAAAUAUUCUAUCUUUAUGAAAUACAUAUUCGUUAAUAGAAUAUAUUCAUGUUGAGAUCUUAUUUUGAAGCAUUUAGUAUAAGGAAUCCAAUAGUGCAAUCUGAAUUUAAUUUGGAUACUUGAUUUGCUAACUAUAACGAAGAUGGAACAUCGUCUCUUAUGAAGAUGGAACAUUAUUUUUUAAUGAAGAUGGAACAUCGUCGCCAUGUUUAUAAUACCAAUACGGUUCUUAGAAUAUUUUAUUAUGAAGAUGGAACAUUAUUUUUUAAACCUUAAACAUCGUUUAUCUUUAUAUGAUAAUUAUUCGUUAUUAAAAUUUUAUCUAAAUAUAUCCAUGUGGGAUCUUGUUUUGAAGGAUUUAUUACAAGAAAUCAAAUGGUGUAAUCGAAAUUUAAUUUGGAUAUUUUGUUUAGGAGUUAUGACUUUUUUUUCAUUAAAAGCAUGCGUUGUAGGUAACAAGGAUAUGUUGCUGCACUAUCACCUCGCACCAGCUGCGCAUGGUAAAGCCACGAGCCAAAUUUAAUUAGUAUGUGUGAGAAUAAAUAUUUACCAGCACCGGCCAUAGAAAAAGUACAUUAAAUGUCUAAUUUGGAAACAGUCUAAGAACGACGUGCGCUGCAGAGGUAAAUGUAAUUUUCGGCACUAAAACCGUGGGAAUCUAAAUAUAUUCAUGUGAGAUCUUAUUUUGAAAGAUUUAUUGUAAGAAAUCUAAUGGUACAAUCGGAAUUUAAUUUGGAUAUUUGGUUAAGAAGUUAUGACUUUUUUUAGUUCAUUUAAAAAUCAUUACGUGUAUGAGUCAGAGCUAACGUGGGUGUGUUGCUUUAUGUACUACUUGUACGAUAGCACAGCACGACGUGGAAAAAGGCUAAUAAAAAUAGAUUCGGGCGCCAUCAACCGGAAAAUUCCGAGUACCAUACGCGCGCAAACGUCUGACGCGGGAAAUUCGAGCGGGAAUCUGCCGGACAAAGGAUGCGGUCCGAACGGCCGGACCGCAAGAGCCCCCGGGAAGAGUUUACCGCCGGCUGGUUCUCUCUCCAUUUCUCUCUCUCUGCCACAUCAUGAUUUUUUCCUACAUAGCUUGGAUUCAGCCGGCUGAAUCAGCCUCAUCUUUAUAUUGGUAGAGAUAAUUGAGAGGUGACUUGCUAUUAUAGAUGAAUUCAAAGAUAGUGUUCUAUUUCUAAGGCCUUGUUUAGUUUGGAAAAAUUUUUGGAUUUCGCUACUGUAGCACUUUCGUUUGUUUGUGGCAAAUAUUAUCCAAUCAUAGACUAACUAGGAUCAAAAGAUUCGUCUCGUGAUUUACAGGUAAACUGCGUAAUUAAUUUUUGUUUUCGUCUAAAUUUAAUGCUUCAUGCAUGUGCCGCAAGAUUCGAUGUGACGGCUUGAAAAAUUUUGGAAACUAAACAAGGCCUAAUACAGAAGACAUUUUUUAUAAAAAAUUUAGCUAGCAUGCUAAUAUUCUACUCGAAGUCAAAGAUGCACUUCGUUUAUCGUGGGCCAGGUCGAGCCCCACCUUCCUGUCGGUGAGGAACCCUGGAUCCCAUAACGACAAGCCCGUACAAGCAGGAGUUGAUGUCGUUCACUGUACAUGCAUGCGUAGGUAUGUACACAUACACAUGGAUGAUGCAUUCAUGGCGAUACGAUCGAGGAUAUUCGCGUUCCUCAUCACUGGACCGGUUUAGGCCUUUUUUAAUUCUAAAAAAAUUUAGGAAAAUGACAUUGUAACAUUUUCGUUUUUAUUUGACAAAUAUUGUUUAAUUAUAGAGUAAUUAGGUUUAAAGGAUUUGUCUCGCGAUUUACAGGCAAACUGUGUAAUUAGUUUUUUAUUUUAUCUAUAUUUAAUUUUUCUAUAUAUAUGCCGUAAGAUUUGAUGUGAUGCGGAAUUUUGAAAAUUUUUUUGUUUUUGAGUCAACUAAACAACGCCGGCCCCGCGUGCGUGGUAUUUUACAUUUUUUCCCACGUGCACAACAACUAAACUACCUAUCUGCGGCUCUGUCCCAAACAAAUUAACUCACAGAGCUGUAUUACUAAGUUAAAAUUUGUAAGUUUGACUGAAACUAUAUAAAAUAACACUAAAUUUUAAUUAGGACACAAAAUCAGUAGCAUUAGAUAUACCAUGCAUGAAAUAUAUUGUUCUAUAGGUAUUGAUAUGAAAUUUCUUAUAAAUAAAGUUAACAAGUUUAUAAUAUUAACUUAUAACAACUCUAGUUAAUUCUGCUUAGGAAUGAAAAGUCCAUGUGUUUAUUGUGUUCCCGUCCCGACCUUAUGCACAGCUCCAGAGUCCAGACGAACGAUGGAUUGCUGGUGAAAGUCGAAGCUUUUUCCUCAAUUACUAUGGCCUUGUUUAGUUCAUCAAAAACAAAAAACUUUUCAAGAUUCUCUCCAUACCCAUAAAGAAAAUCGCUUUGAACAAAGUUUGAAUCAAACAUUGAAAAUAUAAAUUACGAAUAACUUUUAAGUUGUUGAACUCGAAAAUAUCAAAACCAUAUGAAUAGAUCUAUCUUGAAAAAUACUUUCAUAAAAACAUGCAUAUACCACUUUUUAAUAAAUAUUUUUAUUUCUUUCUAAUAUAUAAUUAUGAAUUUUUCAUCGUGGCGAACUCCCCAAGGACGGAGUGUCAAAGAGCAUUCUCAAGAGCCUAAGUAAAAUUAUAUUCUAAACUAUAAAAUUUAAUUAUUUUAUAAAAUAAAAAACUUAUUUAAAAGGAUAGGCAGUGAGGACGGCGUGCUAUCUAUGGUAGGCGUGCUAUCUAUGGUAAGCGAAAGUUUAGGAAUAGCAAACUUGCUAUUUUAGCAAAGUAGAUAACACACCUUUUAGACUUUAGUUUUUUCCUUCAAAAAUCCAAAAUAAUAUACCCCCUUUGUCCCUGCAAGCUUCAACUCCUAGAAUUUGUGUCAGUCAAACUUUUUUAAGUUUGACCAACUUUAUAGAAAAAAGCAUCAAUAACUAUGACAUAAAAUGAGUAUCUUAAGAAAAUAUAUUUCAUGAUAAAUCUAAUGGUAUUAAUUUGGUACUAUAAAUCUUAAUGUUUUUUUAAAAAUCGGUUAAAGUUUUAAAAAUUUGACUUAGGAUAACUCCAGAUGUUGAAGCUUUUAAGAAUAGAGGGAGUAGAUAAGAUGAAUACUAUAUUUGUUGAAGUUGCUCUAAUAGCAGAGGACAUCUAUGUUUUGUGCACCAGGCACAUGCUGGGAGUGCUGGUCUUUUUUUUCAACAAAAGCUCCAUUAUUCAAAGUACUCCCUUGGUCCCUAAAAAAUACAAUUCUUUGUUUUGGAAGAUGUUAAACCAUUUAAACUUUGACAAAUUUUUUAUAUAAAAAAUAUUAACAAUAUAAAAUAAAUAUUAUUAGAUUAGUUAUAGACUAUAUUUUUUAUAAUAAUUUUAUUUAAAAAUAUAAGUAUUAAUAUUAAUUACUAUAAAUUUAGUUAAAUUUAAGCUAAAUUGAUCAACACACUUUUUAUAAUUACAUUUUUUUGGGAUGGAGGAAGCACAAUCAGAUUAUAGACAUUUAUGUAAGAAGCUAGGAACCCAUUUGAAAUCAACAAAGACUUUUAACUAUAGGCACGAGCAUCAGGCUAUAAAUUAUGUACUCCGUUGCAGUGCACGGCGUUGCAAUGUAUCGACAGAGUUAUUAUUGGCACAAGUACUGAAUAAUAAAUUUUAUGUCCCGAUGCAAUACACGGGUAUGUUUUUCUAGUAAAAAUAAGAAGACAAAUUACCAUGUCACUGUUCUAGACGUCUUGCUUUAUAGGCAUGGAGGGCGUAUCGUUUUGAAGCUGGGUGAGCUUCUGGUGGGCCGAAACGUUGGGCUUCGUUUGACGGAUCAGGCCGUCAAGGAGCAUGGGCCCAGCCUCGCCGCUCGGCCUUGAGAUGAUUUUUUUUAUUUGUUGUUGCAUUUCUAAGCGUUGCAGACUUCUUUCCUGGUAGGAAACGGCACCUAAAGUUUACGCUGUUUGUGCAGCGCCUCCUUUUUUUUAAAAAAAACUGAUAAAAAGAACUCUCCAGGAAAAUAGAUUGUAGAGAGCACUACUUCCACGAUCAGAUUAGCGGUUGGGUUUGCCUCGCAGAAGUUAUAAUAUAUAAUUAGUAUUAUUAGAUAGAUUGUUAAAUUUAUUUUUCGUAAUAAACUUAUUUAAAGAUACAAAUGUUGCUACUAUAACGAUAGGUAGGAGAGAGCAUGUAAUUUUGGUCACAUUAUUGUAUAGAAACUCAUAAGCCAUAAGGUACUUACAUCUAGUUACUUUUACUAAUUAAUUAAUAUGGAUAUAUAAAUAUAUAUCCUUUAAUAUUUAAUAAUUGGCACCCACACGGCCAGUGUCAUCGCAUAAUACAGUCCUCUGUCAACAGCUCGGAUUCGCUGUCGGCGGCCGAGUGUCCCCGUCACUUGCCAUUAGCCAUGCACGCACAGCGCUCCGAUCCGAUUAGCCAGCAGUAGGCCAGUAGCAGCCACCUCCUCCAGCUUCAUCAUUGCUUCGUUCCUAAUUCAGCUCGGAAAGAAGAACACACAACCAUGAUAGAUAUGAUUUAGGUGGGAUUCUAGGCCAUCCCACAUUCAUGCUAAUAUAUAUAUAAACAUGAACUGUCACGCACCAACACAUCUCGCAACUACAUUUGAUUACUACUAGUAGUAUAUAUCUAAUGUUUUAUUAUAUAUAUCCAUCUUUUUUAAUUAUUAUUACUAUAAAAUAUAAUACUGAAAGGAUGAGAGGUUUAGGCAACUACUAGGCUUUAGAUUAUGACUAACUGAUGUUUCAGCCGGCCUUCGAGUUCCAAUGAUCUAUCUUCCUUUCCGGUUCCGGGGUACAGCUAGCUUGUUCAGGUGUGUACGGUGUAUAUGCUGCUGAUCGAGUUGAGCUUGUUCAGCUGUUGUUGAUAUCCAGCUGGCGUGGUGGAGAAAUAAUUAUACUAUGAAUAUAUAUACUAGUAACUAAUAACAAAGCAUCUUCUUGGUUUAUUUAAUUUAUUAAUCAUAUUAUACAUACAAGUUGAGCUGGGCUAGCUAGGCAGCAAUAUAUAUAAUCUACUAGCUAAUAAUGUAAUCGGCUUUUAGAGAAUGUAACAACAGCUAAUCUGCUAAUAAUGAGGGAUGCCUUACUUUUUCUUGUUUUGUUUCAGGUAGGGGAGAAAAGGCGGGCGAGGUGCAGUACCGUAGCAGCCGUAAAAAGGUGGCGAUAUAUCGAUGGAUCAGUGUCACAACAGGUGUGGUGGUACCACACCCUGCCGUGCGUGCAUGGUUUAUCUUUAUCCUAAGUAAAUGGGUAUUAUGAUCGAUUGAUGAUUCUCACAAGAAAAGGCAACCCGGGCCGGCCGGGCCCUCACCGCACCACACGUAUACCAGCUUAAAUUAAUUAUUCCAUCUCCACGGAUUAGCUAGUGUACGUACGUGUAGUUGCGCAUGACUUUGCUCUUGAGAAUCCGGAGUACCCCAGAUUCUCUGGCAGGUACAUGAACUGGUUGACAGCCGAAAGCUCGUGCAUGCUUGGAAUCUCUCAGUUUUCUCAGCUGUACGUGUAUCACUACAGCAUGGCAAUUUAUAAUGACGAUUAUUUCGCCGUGCACCGCAAUUUGGUCCUGCUCUUCCUGCGCGCUGCAUGGAGGAAAGAUAUAUAGGUAUAUCAGUUGAACGAAGCCUGACACUGUAGGCAGCUCAAUCGUUGGAUGCGUGGUCUAUAAAGAAGCUAUAGGAGCUGUGAGCUGUUGAUGAGGACGAUGGAUGGAUGCCAAUGGCAUAGCAAGGCAGCAACCUGGAACACCGAGGUGGCGGCUGUCCUGUCCUUUAUUUAUUUGGCCCCCAUGCAAGGUUGGCAGCGGUUGAGAGUCCAGUCUCGCCAUGGCCGCGCGCGCGCAUGACGUGCAUCCAACACCAAACAAGUCGAUCAUCAGAUCGAGAACAUUUCGUACGAUCGACGACCGGCGGACUUGAUUAAUUUUGGCGAUUUUAUGCAUACACCAAUGCAAAUUCGUGUGAAAAACGAAGCGGAUUUUAAAUACGCUACGUUGAACAUUUAAUUUCAUAGAUACUAGAACAUUAUGCAUGCAUUUCAUAAUCAUAACGGGGAGCGAGGCGUAAUGACCCUGCAGCUAGCUAAAAGUCACCACAACGUACUGUUGCUCGUCUGCUCCCUAGCUAGCAGACCUACCACAGAGCGCACCUUGAAUGGAUCCAACCAUCUCUAUGCUAUGCAGAUGCAAACCGGCCGGCCCCACCAUCUAUCGCUCUCACAUCGAUCGAUCGCCUGCCUGGAACAGCCCAUCAAUCCAUUCAUAUAUAGCACUACUUCCCUUGUUUAUUAAGCUAGCCACACCUUGCUAGCUAGGAGUAUCUAGUUAGUUAAACAAACACUACUGCUGCAUGCUUAGUUGGUAAUAAUAUAAUAAGAGAUAUACUCCCUCCGUCCCAAAUUAUAAGUCAUUCCAAGAAUCUUGGAGAGUCAAAGUUUUUCAAGUUUAACUAAAUUUAUAUAGCAAAAUAAUAACAUUUUUGGUACCAACUAAGUAUCAUUAGAUUCUUUGUUAGUUAUAUUUUCAUAGUGUAACUAUUUUAUGACAUAAAUCUUUACAUUUCUCUCUAUAUUUUUUGUCAAACUUGAAAAUGUUUUGACUCUCCAAGAUUCUUCGAAUGACUUAUAAUUUGGAAAGGAGGGAGUAUAUGCUUUGUUGUUCUUGCUUAGAAAACCAACUAUACUUUGUUGCUCUCCCUACAUAUACGAUAUAUACCCUGAGCUGGCUUGAAAGCCACCUUUAUUUGCUUGACUUCCUCUAUAUAUCGGCCAGACGACCACCUAGCAGCAGCUAACUGUUUGAGCCCGGCCUCCCCCUCCUCUCGCUCGUGCCAGAGCCAGACUGCCCAGCCACCACACCAUUCUUUCCCCAUUAGCUCUCUAAGCUAAGCUAGCGUCGUCGUGUCUUAGUAGCUUGCAGGCUCACCUGCUGCUGAUUGAGAGGAGACGACUGAAUUCAGCACCAGCUAGCCAGCUAGCUAGCAGAAGAUAGAUGGCGGCGGAGGAGGCCAAGAAGGUGGAGGUUGAGGCCACCAAGGACAUCGCCGAGGAGAAGGCCGUCGUGCCGCUGCCGCCGCCGCCCGCCAAGCUGGCCGACGACGACGACUCCAAGGCCAUCGUCGCUGUUGUCAAGGGUACGUGUAACUAGUUACAGUACCAUCCUUGUUCGUUACUUCUCGUUCAUCCUGACAACACGAUUCCUGUUAUGUCUACUACUUUGCACUAGCUAGCUAGUUGAAUUUCUUUUUGUACAAAAAAGAAAAGAUAGGAGCUUUAGUUGGAAAUCUCCACAAACCAAACUUUACAAAGAUCAUGCGGGGAUCAAUUUUUCUUCUAGCCAUCUAGGUAGGAGUAGUACUUAGGUACUAGAGAGGGUCUGGGAAUUUCAGAAAAGCAGAUCGAUUAAUUUCGGGACAAUAAGUUCCCUUUAUUUCCACUGUACUGCUUUCUUUGAGAAUUGAAGUAAAAAUGAGACAAACCAAAUAAGAAGUUAACAAACUGUUGCUGUAUGCUACUAAUAAGUUUUAAUUUCCCUGGCAACAUGGAUUAGUUUUCUUCACGAACUGCAAAACAAGAUAAUUAAAAAAUGUGAUGCCUAGAGCUAGAGGAUCGGAGAUAGAAGAAGAAACAGCAACCGAACACUGAAGCACUGACAACUGAUCGAGUACUGACAACCAAACCUUUUAUGUUCUGAAAAAUCUGAUAUGCAUGUCUACUCUUUUUGCCAGACGCUGCUGAGAAACCUGCAACUAUUGGAGGUUCAACUGAAAGAGGUAACAAAAGAAAUUCUCAGUUCAUUUAGGGAAAAAAAACAAGAAUUCUAGCUGGUUCAAUUCAAACUCAUUACACUCAUCUGGCGCUCCAUUCAUUCUUUUUGUUCAGAUGCUUAUCUCGCGAAGAUUGUAUCGGAGAAGAGACUGACUCUGAUCACCGCCUGGGAGGAGAGAGCCGAGAACAGGUAAAAAGGUCUCUCUGACCUAUAUUAAUUUAAUUGGGAGUUUCUUAAAAGUAAGUAUCGAGGUGCCUAUAUAUGUUUAAUUAACUGACAGUUGCUUAAAUAAAUAAAAGCAAUAAAAAUGGAUCAAAUCACCAGUGACAGUGAUGCGUGCUACUCGCACAUCACUCCGGUUCGUUUUGAUGGGUGAGAGAUACCAUCACACACUAACUAAUACCUUACGAUGCACUCAAAGCACGAUGAAAGGAAAGUGCACCUUUCGAUCGUCUCCCCCGCAUGCACUGCAGGGGGAUCGAUGCAAUGCAAUGCAACUGACCUCUCAACCACACCAACAGCAUCAGCUCGUACUUUGUGUCUGCAGCUAAUAACUCACUUGCUGCUUUUGCCUGCAAUGGGUGCAAUGCGAUGGUCCAUGACAACAGGGCCGCCAAGAAGCUCGCCUUCAUCACGUCAUGGGAGAACGCGAAGAAAGCGGAGAUGGAGGCCGAGCUGAAAAAGAUCGAGGUGAGCUGAAAUUAAAAGAGAGAGAGGUGGACGAUGACAAGUCACCUAAUAUUUGUUGCAGCAGUACAGUGGGAAGCAGAGAGUUGUUAGUUAGUAACUGACGAUGAUGACGUGCAUGGCAAAUUGGCAGGAGCAACUGGAGAAGAAGAAGGCGGCGUACGAGGAGAAGCUGAAGAACAAGCUGGCGAUGCUGCACAAGACGGCGGAGGAGAGGCGGGCGCAGACGGAGGCGAAGCGCGGGGAGGAGAUCAUCCUGGCGGAGGAGAUGGCCGCCAAGUACCGCGCCAAGGGCGAGGCACCCACCAAGCUCUUCGGCCUCUUGAAAGCCUGAUGAAGAAAUGACCAUGUGAUUGAUACGAAUGCUGGGAUGGGAACAACUGUUGGUUCGUGGUGGUGUGUGCAUGCAUGUGUAUGUAUCUGAAGACUGAAAUCCCCUUGGAGUGUGUGUGUUGUUGUUUCUGUUGUAUUAUAUUGGAAGGCUUUGCUUGACAUCUGGUGGUGCAGUCUGUAAAGGAAUUGUGUAUAGUUAAGCAUAGGAGGAGUGCAGUGGAGAUGGAUACCUUUUAUUUGUUCUUUCUUCUCAAUUCUCAUAAUGAAAGUUUUGUCAGUUUGAGAAAUUGGUUAUGCGUUUGGCAACAGGCAGAUGUACUAGUCUUCUAUUGCAUUUUCUUUGUUGGAUGGAAAGAUACCACCGGAAUGCCAAUGCCCUCUCUGAAGACUUGAUGCACUAAUUCCGGGAAUUAAUUAGGAACCUAUAUUUUCAUCAGCCGUCCUGUUUCUUGGUCCUAGUUUUCAACUGCACCACGGAAACAUUCAGAGAAGAACUUUUUAUUUUCUUUUGAAACGGUCGCCAGCAGAUAUACCGAACUUGCAUUGGUAUAAAGAGGGAUUAAAAGGCACUGUACAAAGGAGGACUCGAGUAAAAAGGGAAAACCACAACAAAAAGCAUUUAGAGAAGAACUUUCUUCUGAAACAUAAGUAGGCGUGCUCACUGAGCAUCUAUCACCAGCUAGCCUGCUGAGAAACAGUGAGAAAACACUGAUGGCGGACCAAAUCAACAAUUCUUUCAGGCCUAAUCUGAAAGCAAAACCAGGGAUGGAAGCCCAUAGAUUGCUCAUCCUAGGAAAAAUUCGGGAUUCCAAAACAAUUUGGGGUUCCAAAUACUAAACCUCAAAGUGGAUAGAAAAUUUAUUACUCUUGGCAGCAUAAUUUGAUUCAUUCCAUCAUCUGCAGACUGCAGUUGAUCGUUUCAAAAAAAAGCAUCUGCAGUUGAGCACUGCCAUGAAGCCAAGAUGCUUCAGUGUGCAGCCUGAACUUGCUGCACUUGCAUCUGUAGCUCUGAACGCGCUGCAGCUCAACAGCUGCAAUAAAAUACGCUUCUGCCACGGGAAGGCGUACUUCUUGUCCGUCGACGUAUUACCCACCUACCGGAUCACACAUGCCGCCGCCCGCCACCCAAUCCGGUUAGAAAAACAAACAGGUCCACCAGUCAGCGAGACAGUUGCCGUCUGCCCCAGUUGGAAUCUCUCUCUCUGUAUGCGCCAUUGCGGCGCCCGUGGGGCCCACCACGGCGCCGCCGGCAGCGCCACCAACCCCCUCCUCCACCUCCACCUUCCCACCGGCACUCCCCACGCCUGCUCCACGACGCUUAUGCGCUCGCACCCCCCUCUCGCCGCCCACCUCCGGCGCCUGCUCCACCUCUCGCCCUCCGCCCACCUCAUCAUCCGCCGCGCCAUGGCCUCCACCGCCGCCGCCGCGCAGGCGCAGCCAGGUGAGGAACCGAGCCUGCUUGCUUGCUUGCUUACAACACCCACGCCCAGUGCCUGCGGGCUAUGGCUGACGUUUGGUGAGGUGAUGACUGACGGCGGCGGUGUGUGCGUGUGAUUGGUUGGGCUUUCUGCUCAGGUGGCGUGCCGCCGGCGACCGCGGAGUACGAGGAGGUGCUGGGGCGGCUCUCCUCGCUCAUCACGCAGAAGGUGCGCGCGCACAGCGGCAACCGCGGCAACCAGUGGGACCUCAUGGCGCACUACGUCAAGGUCCGUGGCUCCGUGCAUUGAGAAUUUAAGAUCUCCUCCUACUGCCAGAGCUCUCCUGAAUCGUAAUUGGAUGAUUUUUUUUUUAUUGUUCGAUCUGGUUGGUAUGAAUGGCGGGUAGAUUCUGGAGCUGGAGGAGCCGAUCGCGCGGAUGAAAGUAAUUCACGUUGCGGGGACCAAGGGGAAGGUAAACUAACUAGUUGUAGUGGCAUCCUCGAGUCAAUCCUGCUGUGUCACUUUUAGUUUGAUUAGAAAGUUCAAAUUUAAUAUUUGUAUUGUAGAACAACAGCUAGGCAAUCACGGCUACUCCUAGGUUGGAAUGCAAAUGUAAAUAAUGUGAAUCAUUAAGCUUUACAAAAGUGGCAGUUUAAUGCUAUACCUGUUUGGUACCAGGACGUGAUACAACCAUUUCCAUAUCUGUAUCGACUAGUAUUGAACUGCGACUUUUAAGAGGGAUGAGAAAUGCUGAAUUCUUUUAGGGCCCUGAUAUGGCGUCAAUUGAACAAGGCGUUGAUUGUAUCUACAGGGUUCCACAUGCACAUUCACCGAGUCAAUCCUGCGAUCGUGUGGCUUCCAUACUGGGUUGUUCACCUCACCACAUUUGAUGGAUGUUAGGGAGCGAUUUCGCCUGGAUGGGUAAUUCUUUUUCCUACUGUUCUUUUAUCAUCUCUGGUUGUGGUGUUGACAAUAGUAGAUCCUAUGAACUUCCGAAUGAUUUUUUGUAUGCAAAUGUCUGGUGUGCUGUGUCAUCUUUAUUAUGUUGUCCCUGUAAUUAGGUGUUAUGAAUUUAUGAUUGCACUGACCUAGCUCCUACUUUCUGAGGGCAUCAGGGUUAAUAUUUCUGAAGAGAAAUUUUUGAAGUACUUUUGGUGGUGCUGGAACAAGUUGAAGGUAAGUGUCUUGAUUACUUGUUUCAUAUAAAGUCGCUCUGUGCUGGAUGCCUAGUGCCUAGAAGUGACAAAGCAGAAACUACUUAAUUGAUUCCCUCAGGAACUUUUUUUUGCAUUUGUUCUGUAACCUGUCUGUUAUCAUCAUAUUGCUUUUAUUCUAUAUAAACUGGUGUAUGAUGAGGUAAAUGGGCUUACUUCCAGGAGAAGACUGAUGAUGAUAUUCCCAUGCCAGCCUAUUUCAGGUUCCUCGCAUUGCUCGCGUUCAAGAUAUUUUCUGCUGAGCAGGUAAAGCAAAUGCAAGCAUUUCCUACUCUUUCGGCCUUCUUUGCAAGAUAUUCAAGAUGCUAAAUUCAUUUUAUUUGCAAUGCAUUGUGUCAAUAUGUGAUUUUAGGGUAGACACAUUCACACAUCUAUCACAUAUAUGCUCUUCUGACACUAGGAAUUUACUGAUUCUUUAUACCUUUUGAGCUUCGCUGGCUCUGCCAAUCAUUUCCCCUGUCUUUUUCUGACUCUAACAGGUAGACGUUGCUGUUCUUGAGGUUGGCCUAGGAGGGAAGUUUGAUGCAACUAAUGUGGUAUGUGAUGUUCUAUUGCAGUAAUGUAUAACCAACGGUUGUGUAUAAAACUCAUCUUGAGUAGUGAAAAACCAGAGUAGACUUGAACUGUGCCAUUUUAGCCCUGAAAAAUAUUGCAUGCUUAUUUUUGUGAGCAUUCUUGUAUUAUAUAUGCAAAAGGAUGGACUAGGUCAACUUGUAUGCUUGCUUCUUGUCUAAGAUUCAGUGUCAACUUGACUUUCAAAACGAUUUUGUGUUUAAAUUUACCUUGAGUUUCUUCUGGGCUUUCUGACAGCUUUUAUAUUACCACUGUUAUCUUGAACUAUCAAAAAUCAAAGAUCUUGACUGGUCUCUAAAUUUGGGUGUCUGCAGGUUAAAGAACCUGUAGUUUGUGGAAUAUCUUCCCUUGGAUAUGAUCAUAUGGAAAUUCUUGGUUAGUCAUGUAACUAGUUGUUGAAGUACCUCCAUCAUUAGGUUCAUGCUUUCAGUCUCAUCUUUACUUUGUUGCCUGUGAGCAGGGAAUACGCUUGGAGAAAUCGCAGGGGAGAAAGCUGGGAUUUUCAAGGUUUUGUUUAGUUGCUUUCCUAUAAAGCUAUUCAAAUUAUAUAGCCAAUUUUCUUACUUUUCUGGUUCUCUUGUGUCAGAAAGGAGUUCCGGCCUAUACUGCUCCACAACCAGAAGAGGCAAUGGCGGCUCUCAAACAAAGAGCUUCGGAGUUGGGUGUAUGUCCUAUCAUCGAUUCCAUUCUUCUUUUUCUUUUUUUUUGGUUGCCUCUAUUCUAGCCAUGACACUUAAUGCGUUCUGAAGAUCUCUCUCCAAGUCGCUGAUCCUCUGGAGCCCCAUCACUUAAAAGAUCAACAUCUUGGACUCCAUGGCGAACAUCAAUAUAUAAAUGCUGGCCUUGCAGUUGCUUUGGCUAGUACGUGGCUUGAGAAGCAGGGACAUAAGGACAGGAUACCACUCAAUCGUACUGUAAGUCUUCUCAAUCAUGUUGCUUUGCCAAAAAGAAAGAUGGGUAUGACAAUUUGUCCUGCUAUUAUGGAAUUCAGGAUCCCUUGCCAGAUCAUUUUAUUAGAGGACUAUCAAGCGCUACUUUGCAAGGCCGAGCACAGAUUGUUCCAGAUUCACAAGUGAAUUCAGAAGAGAAGGACAAAGAUUGUUCGCUUGUUUUCUAUUUGGAUGGAGCGCACAGUCCUGAAAGUAUGGAAAUUUGUGCCAAGUGGUUUUCUCAUGCCACAAAGGAUGAUGGAAGACUACCAUCUUCCGUGGAGCAGUCUCAGACAUCUAGGUCUCAAAAGGUAUGUCUCACGGCAUAUCUACUUUUUUUCAUGCUUCAAUUGACCUGCUUUUGUGUGCAUUACAUCUUAGAGUAGGUUCCUCCCUUAUAUGAAAAUAUUCUUUUGAAACCAAUUUCGCAGAUCCUUCUGUUCAAUUGCAUGUCUGUGAGAGAUCCAAUGAGACUGCUUCCUCAUCUCCUGGAUGCAUCAACUCAAAAUGGUACCUUAAAAAUUUCCAUCCUCUCCUGAAAAUAUUCCUUGCAAUCAUUCAUCAUUAAUUCAUGUAUUGUUUAAUUUUUCAUCUCCAUUUGUUUAAUGGGAACCAAAUACAUUUACUGCCCACUUGAGUCCUGUGCGAAGUUACUGGUUUAUUUACUGUUGAGUUCACUUUCAAGUGCGAAUUUUUCCAGUUCUAGGUUAAAUGGGUGCACUCGGUUUUGUUUAAUUUUGUCAGGAGUGCACUUUGACAUGGCCCUAUUUGUGCCGAACCAAUCACAAUACAACAAGCUUGGUUCUAAUACUUCAGCUCCUGCGGAGCCUGAGCAAAUCGAUUUAUCAUGGCAGUUGUCACUCCAAACAGUGUGGGAGAAGUUACUUCAGGAUAAAGGUUCUUGUGAAAUCUGAACUUGAUUUCUUUAGCCAUUUAUGCCGCAUUUCUUAGUACCUUGUAUGUUUUCCUCCUUGAAACAAGCAUUACCUGGUUCGAAUAUAAUAUAACACUUGCAAGUAAAUGGUGCAGGUAUAAAUACUACAAAAUCUAGUGAUACUAGUCAAGUUUUUGAAUCGCUUCCACUCGCAAUCGACUGGCUAAGGAGAAAUGCCCAAGAAAACCAAUCCACUUCUUUCCAGGUAAAAUCUUUCAUGAGAACAUAACCUUUCCCUUGUAGAAAUUGUUAAGAGUGAAUGUAAAUGAACAGUGAACAACUUAUGUCUUUCAUUGAUCUCAUAGAAUAUAUACAAGUGAAGGGGGCAUGUCCGUACGGACACAACCGUUCAGUUUACAGAACCACCGAAGGGACAUGCCUCUUCAGGGAUUACUAACUGCUAAUCCUAUGAUUAACUGCUAAUCCACUUCUCUAAUCUUGUUGUAUCAACGGAUGAGAUCAUUAGUGAUAAGGUGUCUAUUCACCAACAGACACCGUUUCGCAACACUCCCCCUUGAUCGAAUCUUCCUUUGAGAUCAAUGUAGCUGUAAGCUUAGAUUCCUCGAAAAACCAUGUGGGAAAAAUCUGAGGAAUAUGUAUGUAUGGAUAUGCUGUAAAACUCCUUUAAACCUUUAUAGGAAAACAAGGAGAAGGUAGCAUAUAUUUGUGUGAUUUAAACAAACCACUAUGUCAUUAGUAUUCCAAUUAAAAACCCCAGUGGGGAAAAAUAUUGGAGAUACGACAUAAAGAUAACUCCUCUAAAAACCGUUUAGGAAAAAAGUGAGGAGCCAUAUUAAGAGAUAUGUCGCUAAAACUCCUAUAAAAACCCAGUGGGAAAAUCAGGAGAAAAAUAUGACGACAUACUAUAAGUAUUGCCUCUUGAAAUAACUCUCAUGAAAAACCUUUUUCAAGGAAAAACCAUGGAUGAGUUGGGAGGGCAAUAUGUGUCUUUGAUAUUUCCCACAAAAACCCCGGUGGGGAAAAUAGAAAAUAUGACACAUGCUUAUGUUAAUAUUACCUCAUUAAAAACUUUAACAAGAAACCUUUUGAGUAAAACUUGUGAAAGAAAAGAGUAUAAUAUGAUGCUGGUACAGGUGGCAUCUAGGAGAUGUCUCCUCCUGAUUCUGGCAAAUCUCGAAGUCGCCUCAUACCAAUUCCAUGUACCAAUUUUUGAAACACAGAAGUUGGUAAGGACUUAGUAAAUAGGUCAGCGAGAUUAUCACAUGACUUGAUUUGCAAGAUGUUUAUUUCCCCACUUUCUUGUAAUUCAUGGGGAUAAAACAAUUUAGGAACAAUAUGCUUAGUGAUAUUGCUCUUUAUGUAACCUGUUUGCAUCUGUGUAACACAAGCGGAAUUAUCUUCAUAGAUAAUUGUUGGUGAUUCAAUUGAACCAAUACCACAUGUCUGUUGUAUGUGGUUAAUCAUUCUGCGAAGCCACACACAUUCUCGUGAUGCCUCGUAUAAAGCAAUAAUUUCAGAAUGAUUAGUAGAGGUGGCUGUUAGAGUCUGCUUAGAAGACUUCCAUGAAAUAGCUGUACCUCCAUGUAGGAAUACAAAUCCUGUUUGGGAUUUUCCGUUAUGAGGAUCAGAUAAGUAACCAGCAUCUGUAUAGCCAAUCAUACUGGAAUCAUGAUUUUUCUUGAAGAAUAAACCAAGAUCCUUUGUGCCAUUAAGGUAUCUGAGGAUACACUUUGCUCCCGUCCAAUGACGGUGAGUCGGGUCCGCACUAUGCCUAGCUAGUAAGUUCACUGCAAAUGCGAUAUCAGGCCUGGUGCAAUUUGCAAGAUACAUAAGUGCGCCAAUAACACUGAGAUAUGGGAUUUCUGGUCCCAACGUCUUCUCCCCAACAUCCCGUGGUCUAAAUGGAUCUUUCCCUAAUUCUAAGGAACGAACAACCAUCGGGGUUUUAUUAGGGUAUGAUUUAUCCAUAUUGAAUUUCUCCAAUAUUUUCUGGAUAUAGGCUGAUUGAUGCACUAAAAUCCCUAAAGGACGGUGCUCAAUUUGUAAGCCUAGGCAAUAUUUGGUCUUUCCCAAAUCCUUCAUCUCGAAUUCCGUCUUUAGAUGUUUGCGUGCUUCUUCUAUAUCCUUUGGACUGCCAAUGAUAUUUAAAUCAUCAACAUAUACAGAUAUAAUACAAAAUCCCGUUUGAGAUUUCUUAAUGAAAACACAUGGGCAAUCAUCAUUAUUGGUGUAUCCUUUGUUUAAAAGGAAUUCACUCAGUCGGUUGUACCACAUUCGUCCCGACUGCUUCAAGCCAUAUAAUGACUUUUGUAGUUUUACACAAUACAUGUUACGAUUUGCGUUUGGAUUCGGAAUUUGGAUUCCAUCGGGAACCUUCAUAUAUAUGUCCGAAUCAAGUGACCCAUAUAAAUAUGCUGUCACCACAUCCAUCAACUGCAUAGAUAGAUGAUUUUGAACUGCCAAUGAUAUUAAGUAUCGGAAAGUAAUUCCACUCAUUACUGGAGAAUAAGUUUCAUUAUAAUCAAUGCCGGGUCUCUGCGUGAACCCUUGUGCUACUAGCCUUGCUUUAUAUCUCACCACCUCAUUGUUCUCAUUCCGUUUCCGGACGAAAACCCAUUUAAAGCCUACAGGAAAGACUUUGGAGGGUGUGGGUAUAGCUUUUGUGAAUACCCCUCUUUUAGUGAGCGAGGCUAUCUCAGCUUUAAUUGCUUCUUUCCAUUGAGCCCAGUCUGAGCGCUUUUUGCACUCUGCCAUGGUCUUAGGAUCUGGAUCAUUGAGAAAGAUUUCUGCAAUUGCUGCGGAGAAAUAUGUGUCUAUUCGUAUGAUUCUCCAGAAUCAAUAUAAUUGAUGGAAAUUUCUUUUACCCCAUUAUUUGACUCAACAUUUCCCAAAACUAUGGAGUCAGGGUGUUCCGAUGUCCCAGGAUCAGAAUUUGGAUGCACCGUUGAUCCGGGUUGUGGAUUUGGUCCUGGUGUUGGAUUUUUAUCCACUAUUGGGUGUCUACCAACUUGAGGUUGGCUUGGAUUUACUGAUUUGGAGGAUUUACCUCUCGAUUUCCUUGGACGCUUACUUGGAGCAUUAUCCUUAGGAGCGGCCGUACUUCUCCCCCUCUUCUUUGGAAGUGGGAGUUGAAUGGUUUUUAUUGGUACCUCCACUCUUUCGGGCGCAUUGCGAGCAGGAUAAGAGGAUUUAGUGACACCCUUAUAAUCAGUAAAUGCUUCUGGCAGGUUAUUUGCAAUAUGUUGCAAGUUUAUGAUUUUCUGAACUUGUUGUUCAGUUUCUUGAGUACGUGGAUCUGAGGGGGAAUUGCCUUGGGCAUUCCAGUUGAUUUCCUGGCAUUCACUUUGGUACUUGAAAUCUCCCCCUAAUGCUGGGAAAUGGUCCUCAUUGAAUAUGCAGUCAGCAUACCGGGCCGUGAAUAAGUCCUCUGUAAGAGGCUCGAGGUAUUUGAUAAUCGAUGGGGAUUGAUAUCCCACAUAGAUACCAAGUUUCCUAUGUGGACCCAUAGAGGUACGCUUAGGUAGUGAGAUCGGUACGUAUACAGCGCAACCGAAUUUUCGCAGAUGGGAAAUAUUUGGCAUAUUCCCACGUACUAAUUGCAAUGGGGAGACAACAUGGUAUGCAGUUGGACGCAAUUGAAUUAAGUCAGCAGCGUGUAAGACUGCAUGACCCCAACAUGAAGUUGGUAGAUUGCAAUUUUGUAUUAGUGGUCUUGCAAUGAGUUUAAUUCUUUUAAUAAGAGAUUCUGCUAAACCAUUUUGUGUAUGGACAUAUGGGACAGAGUGCUGAACUUGAAUUCCUAAAGCCAUACAAUAAUCAUUGAAAGCCUUUGAGGAAAAUUCAGCAGCAUUGUCCAUUCGAAUUGAUUGAAUUUGAUGUUCAGGAUUAUGUGCUCUAAGUUUAAUAAGUUGAGCAAUAAUUUUUGCGAAAGCAUGGUUACGUGUGGAUAAAAGACACACAUGAGACCAUCUAGUAGAUGCGUCUAUUAGAACCAUAAAAUACCUGAACGGUCCAGAUGUUGGUUGUAUAGGGCCACAAAUAUCUCCUUGAAUGCGUUCAAGAAAUUUUAGUGGCUCAUUUUGGAUCUUGACGGGCGAUGGACGCAAGAUCAAUUUACCUGUAGCGCAUGAAGUGCACAUAAAAUCUGAAGAUUUCGGAAAUUUAGCAGUAUUUAACUCAUGACCAUUUGAAUUGCUGAUAAUUUUCCGCAUCAUCCCUAUACCAGGAUGACCAAGGCGAUCAUGCCAAGUUUUGAAUGCAUCAACAUUCUGGAAAAUUACCUUGUACGCAACAUGUGGUACGGGUUUGAUGUAUGUGUAGUACAAUCCGGACGGAAAAGAGGGAAUUUUCUCAACAAUUUGUUUGCCAUAUCCAUUGUUUUUAGUAACAAGGAGAAUUUCCUCAUUAUUGUCAUCAAGGGUUUCUAUAUGGAAACCAUUUUGACGGAUAUCUCUAUAACUUAAUAAGGUACGCUUUGAAUCGGGAUACAAUAAUGCAUCCUCAAUUGUAAUUUGGGUACCCAUAGGGAGUAUGAUAAUGGCACGACCUGAACCAAUUAUCGUAGCAUCGCGCCCAGCGAUUGUCAAAACAUUUCCUUGUCUUUUAGUAAGAGUUUGGAAAUAUUUUGUUUCCCUAAGAAUAGAAUUAGUGGUACCGCUGUCCACUAGGCAUAAUUCCUCUUCCAUCAGAUCGACCCCCGUAGAAACUAUAUAUAAAUAAAGAAUUUGAUAUAAAACUCUCUGAUAAUAUAUAGAAUACAUACUUUAUUUAUUGAAUAUCAAAUGUGUACAAUACAUUUAUUGGAUAUCCAAACUAAGUAGUGAUGACAUCAUUAAAUAUUUACAACACAUAGGACAUAAAUUGUGUUUAUUAUUACAAUCACUAGAACAUAAAGACAUUAGAAUCUAAGGGAUUGGGAGCCUAGUGAAAGUCUCCAAAUAUGUCGUUGGAUGCAUAUUCCACGAUCAUAUUCCCUGUAUCAGCAAGAUCCUCGCCUCCUCGUAUGAUGUUGUUGCUUGGUUCCUCAGGAACUUGUUGCGAACAACCAGCCUCUUCCCUGGUGGUGUCAGGUCGAAGAUUGAAAUGGGCUUCAUACUUCUGUCCUGGUGUAGCUCGUCCACGACCCACAGACUUUAAGUAAAGAUCAACUAGAUGACUUGGGGUACGACAUUUCUUUGUAGUAUGGUUAUAACAACCACAUUUUUGACACACAGGUUUAUCAUCCCUGUUCUUGGAAAUGUUCUUACCCUUUUUGUAAGGUUUACCUUUGUUGGAGUCACCUUUUUGGGGCUUCUUAUUGCGUCUGCGCUUGUUUUUACCCUUCUUGGAGUUUCCUUGUUGAUAGUUCUUUUCAGAUCUAUCAUUAGACAUGGGUUUAUUCUGAGUAUAUGCAUGUACUUCAGGCAAUGGAGCAGACCCAACAGGGCGUUGCUGAUUAUUCCAAACCAUAAGUUCAGAAUGUUUUUCGGCCUCAAGUAAAGUUUGGAUAAGCUCUGAAUAAACUUGGAAACGUCUUUCACGGUAUUGUUGUUGAAGAAUCCUUUCAGAGGGAAGCAUAGUAGACAAAGUCUUUUCUAUCUUAUCCGCAUCUGUAGGUUCUUUCUCGCAGAAUUGCAAUUUUGAGCAAAUCCUAUGGACAGCAUGAUUGUAGUCACUCACAGUUUUGAAAUCCUGUAAGCGAAGUUGCGUCCACUCAUAGUUGGCCGCGGGCAAGACAAGUGCCUUUUGCUGUUCAUAGCGUUGCUUAAGUGAAGUCCAUAGAUUGUGUGGAUUUUCUUCCAACAAAUAUUCAGCCUUAAGAUCAGGGUGAAUGUGGCUCCUAAUAAGGUAUAGGGCUGUAUAAACGUGUUGAUCUUCAAGCGGUGCAACCCCAUCUUCGGGUGGUAACACAGCUCGAUAAAGUCCACGGGACGAAAGACUAACUUUUACGUCUAUAGCCCAUGUGGGAUAAUUGUGGCCGUCUAGAGCUAGUAAUUCAAACUCUUUGACAGUCAUUGAUCCUACAUGAUAUAAAAACCAUCGAAACAUUUUAAGUUAUUAAAAUGUUGAGGUGUGUUGUAAUUAUGGGAUGCAAAUAAAAACAAGAUAAAUCUUGUAUCGGUAAUGGUGUAAAAUUCUUAUAUGCAUAAUAAAGCAAUGGAGGUAGUCAAAAAAAAAGGGUGUAGACCUCUAAUUGGGCAUAUUAUGUGUAAAUAGUAUAUGCCAAUUAAUUAUGCAAAUUGUAUAACGCGUCUGAAGGUAGUCAUCAAGAAUUGAUGUAGACCUUAGUUUAAUUUGCAAACGAAUUGGGUACGCACGCUGAGGAUAGUCACUAAGUAGUAUACUUAGUGUAGAUCCCACAGUAGCAACAACCGGUGCUACCUUGUGUAUGGCCAAUAGGGAUGCAAAUUAAUGGUAGUCAUCUUUGUGAAAAGAUGUAGACCAAAUGUUCUAAGGGGUAAUGUUGGGUACGCACGUUGAGGAUAGUCACUAAGUAUUGCUUAGUGUAGAUCCCGCAGUAGCAACUAUGGUGCUACCUUGUGGAGUGGCCAACAAAACGACUCUAGAACAUGCGUGUUAUAUAAUUGUUAAGAAAAUUACACAUAAAUUGUCGCAUCCAUUAUUUAAGUGCGUAGUGCUUUAAAGUUAAAAGCGUAAAGGAACUUAAAUAAAAAAAAUGAUCGAUUGCGAAAUAAAUAAAUAAUUGCAAGAUCAUGGUCACAAUAACAAGGAUAUUAUUUAUUGGAUUUGUCAUUCAUACCGGGACAAACACUUUGAAUAAUAUCACAAACAGAUAUUUUAUAACAAUAUAAAGUAUCACAAGUACAACUAUAGUUAAAAGUCUGGAACUAAACAUAUAGGAGUACUAUUUUUACAACAAAUAAUUAUACGAGACCACACCAGAGUCAUAUACGAAUUAUUGCUGAAAAUAAAUAAGAUGAAUAAACAAGUAGCCUGCUGUGCCAAAUUAGAGUUCAAGUGAAUUUGAAAUGGGCACAGCAGCCUGUGCGAGCGUGCAAGUGGAGACUGGAAGCAGGGCGUAGGCCUUCAUGGGCUGGCCCAUUUGCUGGAGCAGCACAUAUAUAUACGGGGCUGGAACAGGCAGCUAGGGUUGAAAUCCAACCACACGCCGCCGUAUAGCCUGAAGACCACCGCCGCCACUUUAUCUGGAUGUUGGUGCCGCUGCUCCCUUCCACUGCGCCGCCGCUGCUGCAGUUCUUCAGUUCGAGGAAGACUCCCCCUCAUCAGGGGAGUAGAAGCCGCUGCCGUUCACCAACUCGUUGAGGGUCGCCGCAGACGGGAGGCCGUGCGUCGCCGGGUUCCGCGAUCCUCUGCGGAUCUCAGGGCGCCGGUCCACUGCAGCCACGCUACGACCCAGAAGGCGCCGGAUCGACGGAGUUGUUGUGGUUGUGCCUUCGGUCGGAGUUGGGGGCGCCGCCGGGAGGGCCUGCGCAGCCAUGCGUGCCGCAGCCUCCGCGCGUGUCGCUGGUGGAGGAGGAGCCGAGGGCCCGGCCCUGUCGAGGAAGAAGUACGGCGAGAUGCCGGUCCUCGCAGCGGUGUUGAAGAUGUCGCCGAGAUUGAAGAGGUUGCCGACGCCGGGUGCAGCCACCACAUCGACCUCGUCCUCGACCUUCACUGCAUCGAGCGCAGGGGCAGCCUGCGUGUUCAGGAACCACGGAUCCAGUGGGGGAACGCCAUUGCCUGGCGCCAUUGGAGUCGGAGGAGUGGGCGUCGGCAUCAGCGUGUGCGGGAUCGACGUGUACUCCUUGCAGAAGUCGCACCAGUAGCGCGACGGUGCCGGUACUGGCGAUAUGGGCUCCAUCGGCAUGUAGGAUGGAGUUGGAGCAGCGGCGGGCAUCAUCUCCACGGCUUCAGCAAGCGGCAUCGGGGCUUCGACGAUUGGUGGCGCCGCGACUUCAACAGCGGGCGGCGCCGUGUUGCUGGGGCCGGCACCGUCCGCGCCAAGGCGAGGAGACGGUGGCUGGCUCUGCAGAGGGCGAUCUUGCGGCGAAGCGAGGCGGCCACGACGAAUCGGGGACCAACGGCGACGGUGAACAUCUGCACGGACGUCACGAACAGCCGAGUCGAAGAUGCGGCCGUAUGGACCAUGGCCAUGGCCAUGGGCAGCAGUGCGGCGGAGACGAGGCCCAAGGCGCUCGAAAACACUGUGACGCUGUCCAUGGUGGCCGUGGUGACGGAUCGGGCCACGACGGACUCCACCAACGCGACGGAGAGCGAAGAACAAUCCACGAGCAAUGUGUGAAGGUAAAUCGACAUUGAUUCGCGCCAUAGGGCUUACCGGUGGUCGGUAUAGAGGCAUGGAUUGCCUCUGUUCGUCGUUCUCCUUCUGUAGAGCAAAAGUGCUGAUAACGUGUUAAGAGUGAAUGUAAAUGAACAGUGAACAACUUAUGUCUUUCAUUGAUCUCAUAGAAUAUAUACAAGUGAAGGGGGCAUGUCCGUACGGACACAACCGUUCAGUUUACAGAACCACCGAAGGGACAUGCCUCUUCAGGGAUUACUAACUGCUAAUCCUAUGAUUAACUGCUAAUCCACUUCUCUAAUCUUGUUGUAUCAACGGAUGAGAUCAUUAGUGAUAAGGUGUCUAUUCACCAACAGACACCGUUUCGCAACAGAAAUCUGCAUACUGAUAUUUAUCCUAAUGUUUGUUGCCUUUGAUUGUCCAUGCAUUCAUAACUAACGCGUGCACACCAAGUCAUAAAUGCUGCUUCAAGUUUGCCAUUGCUAUUUUGUGACCUCUGUUGAUCUUUUACCGUCUAUCAGGGGUCAUAUUUUUUUCUUUUAAAACACCAUUCAGGAACUAUUAUCUCUUUUUUUUUCUUUUGUUUAUCUAACUGCCUAAACACUCGAUGCUGACACAUUUUUAAUCUGAUGAUGGGACUGAACUAGGUAUUGGUUACUGGCUCCCUGCAUCUCAUUGGUGAUGUCUUGAGAAUAAUCAAGAAGUGAUACAUACACCGCUUGAAUUUCAAACUGGAGCCGACCUAUGAUAUAUCCCUCCACAAGGCUAACCUGAUUAGCAAGGGCAGAAAAUUUCAACGGUUUGCUUAUGAUGCUAACCAAGCUGCGAGGUUCUUGUGUUUUCUGGCCACUGUCGCCUUUCACCCAGAAAACCGCUGUGCUCAUUCUUGUAAAGGCAUGAAAUAGGAUGAUCACAUGCCAUCAUUGGACAUAACUGGGAAUUCGACAUGAAAUUGGGUCAAUCUGUACACUCACAAAAUAAGAGUGCAUGGGUUUUCUUCUUCAAAUACAAACACUGCAAAGAAACCAAUCAUUCUUCUCCAGAGUAAAAAAGAAUUCAUGUUGUGAUGAUGUAUCCUUGUUCUUUCUCCCUGACGAAAAACUGAUGGUCCAACAGUGUUUUCCCUGUACCAUAUCCGUGUGUUUCCUUGGCGGUCACUCCCAUGUUCAGACCUUAACGGCUGACCUGACCUCAGCAUCUGCAGGAUUGCUUGUUGAUAUCGCAACGCAAUGAUACGGCCUAACAGUGUUUUCCCUGUGGCUGAAUCGCAUCCGUGCAAAACCAUCUUUCCAAGUCCAGCCACAAUUCUGUUAGGCAUGGCAAUAUGGCAUGACACUGGGUUUCGCCAUCAGUGUCAGGGGCGACCUCGCUCUGAUCCCAUUCGAUUUCGAUUGCUAUCCGGUGUUCGCACCAAGCCAAACUGGUGAGGCAAGCGCACGCCUGCCCCGGUGUCGUGUAUCGCCUCAGCAAUUCAACAGCAGGGUCUCCAGAUGGCCGAGAUGGAUUACUUUCUGUGCCGCUCUUCUUGUCUGCAUCCGCGUAUCUGAACUCUUAUUCCGUUGCCUGUGUGUGACCAUGACAUCAUUCAAAUGUAUUAUCAUAAACUAUACUAGUAUAAGCUACAAUAAACUACUAGUACUAACUACAGUAUCAUAGAAAUCCCGUCAAGUGAUGGCUUUGACUUUGAGAUAGCUAAAGCUAAGCUAGGACACCACCAUCCCUUGAUGCAUUGCACUUGCACGCUAUAUAGUAUAGCAACUGAGAAACCAACACACCUCUCUGUUCAGAGUUCGAAGACUCUCUUGCCAUCUCCAACCUCCUCGACCUUGCUGAAACCCUGAAACCAUGGGAAUGGGAUUGCCACGACAAAGCUUCAUCAGGUUCAUGGUAGUAGUACUCACAGUCUCGCUCCUGGGAGCAGAGCUGAGAGGCCUCUUCUGCCACGGCCGGCGGAUUCCGGGCUCCGAGGUGGCCAUCACGGCGCACGACGAUGUCCAGUCGCCACCGACGCUGAGGGAAGCUCAAGGCUACUACUCGCCGUCGUCCUCGUCCUCGUCCAGCAAGCGACCUCGGUGGAGGCGCGUGCAGGAUCUGUCAGAGUCCAAGAGAAGUGUGCCGCAGGGACCCAACCCGCUGCACAACUGAAGCCUUGGACUCUCGGUGCUCCGGCUCACUCAGCAUCUACCACUAUGAUCUAUCUGAGAUUCUCUGAGCCCUUAGCCUGAGCAACUUUUUGUAAGUACUAGAAGAGUAGUAGAAUUGGCUGGCAUAGUACAUGUAGUGCCCACCGACCGUGAUUGUUACCUGUCUGUCACUGGCACUUUCUGUUCUGUUCUAAGUGUUGUUUGCUCUGCCAACAAGCGUGCAUGAUCGAGGGUGAGAGCAGGUGGUUGUGGUGCCAUCCAUGUUGUCCGUCCUCUUCAUUCUCUGUAGCGACCCAGGAAGCGGACGGAGGUGGGUUGGGUGGAUGAGGCAGCGUGGCCGUGGCCGGCGGGAGCGAGCUCACGUGCCAUGACACCAUCCAUGUCAAUCCACUGCUCACGUGCCAUGACACCAUCCGUGCCGUCGAUUUGGUCCCUGUCAGCGUCACUUUCCUUGGUUCGUUUCGGGCGCCUCACGGUUUUUCUGGACACCGCACGGGGCAGGCACGGCCGGCCGGUGUGCGUCGAUCCUUCUCCGGCCGGAGAGCUGGACGAUGCCACGGUCUCUUGGAGGAUGACGUUGACGGCGACCACCGACCGAUCGCCAGAAACCGUUGGCGGGCCACAGAUCGAGCUAUAUAUACGGGAGACGGCCAUCCGAAUCAAUGCCACGGUGGUCCAAACCGAUGUUGCACCGUCGGCCUCUGGCGACCGUGCCCGCCUUCUCCGUUUGCUCCCCGUUUUUGACCGGUGUGGCAACGCAACGCAACGCAGUGGUAGUUCGGUACAGAGUGCAGGACACCAAACAGUAAUCUGAGAUGGAACUCCCAGCAACAUUAUCUGUUUUCAUCUGGAGAGGCACCGGUCUUUCUUGUCCAACCUGAACGUCAACAUCUCAGAGAAAAAGAAAAGUAGAGAGCCGACCACGUAGCAAACUCAGUAGAAUCCCAGUCAUCACAUCAGCUGGUUCCCCACGGGGUCAACGGUGAAAUGCAGGUGCAGAGAUUUCUCCACGAUCGGGUGGAACUUGGAUGCCCACAUCUGCAACUCACAGGCCAAACACACGAGUUAAUUAUACUAGUACUUGUUAUGGAGAUGGCAAAGACUAGUAGUAUUCCUAUGGAAGAGUGUGGAUUCAGGCAAUGGCUGUAGUUUGCUAUCCUACUUUCGGUUCAGAGUUGGAAUCCAACCCUGCAUGUGUGUGCACCAUCAUUCUGUAUGUACCUCUAUCUUGUUUUUUUUUUAUUUUUUAGUUUUAAUUUACUCGGGUAAGUCGAAUGUGGUAUGCAGGAAACUCAAGAUAUGAAAUCCAUUUCAGCAGAGUUCUUACAUCCUUGUACUCCAUGCUCUCCCUGAACAGCUUGAAGUCAUCAACUGCAUGAUACGACAGACUGAGUAAGCAACCAUAGCUCUAACAUGCUGCUAACUUAUACACAGAGAUUCUGACUUAUGCAUAGGAUGAGACAAAACUUAUAGCCCACUAACAUGAUGUGAAACGGAUUACUGCAGCAUGAUUGUAUCCAUUAUCUGGAUGAUCCAAACAGCAGCCUAUACAAAAUAGAAGUAUAACAUUAGAAGCAGUUAUUUGAGAUUUUUUGGGGGGGAAAGUGUUGGUAAGAGAAAAUGCACAUGUUAAUAACAAUCUAUGUGAAACAAGAUAAGCAUGUUAUAUGCCUUCAGCCAUAUGUACAGCAAAUUCACAAUCGCAGUAGCAAUGUGACAGAAGAACCAUGAGGAUAUCUUGUUGUCUUACCACAGGUUGCCUGCACAAUAAAAGAGCUGCAUUGGCUGAUCAACUUCUGAAGAGAAGCUAAUGCAUCCUCCGUUGCUUCUCUAGAUGCAGUCUUAAAGAAAGAUAUCAGCAGCAUAAACUCGACACCGUAGUUAAAAUCCUGCCACAGGAACCAACUUUUCUGUUUUAGUGCAAAAAUGGACAGUGGCACAUUUUUUACAUAGCUAAACAAUGGUAUCAGUUUACACCAGGAUAAGUUAGCUUGAGUUACCUCUCCCCUACGAAAGAGAGGUAUAAUGUCAUCUUCCACCUCGGACUCGAAAUCUACAGAAACCGAGCCCUGUAAGUUAUCCAAACAGCGACUAUCAUGGUGCUAUGAGCAUAGAGAAUCAGUAUGGUGUAAGAACCAGAAAGAAGAUUACAUGCUGAGGCGUACAUAGGAAACAGGUUUUACGUGCUCAUCAAGAACUUUCGAAUAGUAUGCACUGCUCUGGAACUUUGCAAUGUCUUCUUUCUGCUGAAAACGCAUAAAGACAGCGUGUGUGAAAUUCUCGCUGUUGGGGUCCUCUAUGCGGCCUGCAUCCAAUAUAUCACAAAUAACAAAUUGAAGUUCAUACAUAUUAACUGAUUCUGCAGUUGAAGUGUAUAUAAGCCUAACCUAAUGAGACUGCGAGUAUCCCUCUCAUCUGGUACUGUGAUGUAUAUAGAUAGUCCAGCAUAUCUUUUUCUUCGGCAUCUGAGAUGUUUGGCUUGGCUCUAAGCAGAAUAAUGUGCUCCACAAUCUUUCUGCAAAGUGUACUAGAUCAGCUGUAUACUACAGCUCUGCACAGUACAGGGCAUGAGGUAACAGUAUACAGAAUUUAGAACACUCAUUGUAAAUAUGAUACUUUCAGUGUCAAUUUCUUCGCAAAAAUUUUACAGUUUUGAAGUGAUUUGGUAAUGCAACACUUAGAAACCACUCACCUUUUCUUCAUAAGACCACCAGAAUGUGCCCCAUUGCUGGAUUCAAGCACACCACGAGUGGAAAGAAUUAUCUUCUUUCCAGUCCCCCACCAUCUGCGACCUACACAAACUCAAAGGACUUCAGAAUCUAUAUUCGACAUGCAUACACUUCAAAAAGAAGGCCAAAGCUGAGAUCGAGAACUCACAUCGGUCCAAAUUCUGCACAGGUAGUUGAUGCAAUCUAAAGCAGCUCCCAACAGGUCGUAUGGUGUGAGGCACCUGGGCUGAUGCUGGCACAGACAUCCUGAUGAUUUAGAGCCUGGAAGCUUUAGCUCAUUGUUGCCACACUGGUUUUUAUGGUUUUGGGUGGAGUUAUGGUAUGGUGGUAACCGUGAGCAAAAGCAGGAUCUUUUGGGUUGAGUGCACAUAGUGUGGCAGGACAUCCUCUGUCCUCACCAUCAGUGGGUGGUUGGAGUUAAUAGCGCUGUCCUUUUCACAGCUCCACAAUUUCAGAUAUUUUUUCACAACAAAGAUACAUCUCUCAUUGAAAAAUACAAACUAGUAUUAGAACUGCCAGUGCCACAGAACUGCACCAACACUUUGGUCACCAAACAGUGCCACAGAAUUGCACCAACAUCAGUUUGCAUAAUCACCAAAGGGGAUAAAAUUAAAAGUAGCCUAAAUUAGAGUGACAUGAGAAUUACACCAGUCGACGUUCAAAUUAUUCACAAGUUUGAUCACAACGAAAGAUGCUACAAUUCCAGAACCAAAACAAUGAAGAUCCUAAAGACUAUAAACGCUGGAUGGACUUGACGGACUCUAAGAUCCUAACAUACUGAAAGAACAAUGAAGAAUGUUCGCCCUCCAAACCAUUUCUGUGGUGACGGUUGCUCCCAGCAAGAUUGUUACAGGGACUUCCACCAAUCACAAGAUCAAAGCCGCCAAAUCUUCUAAUAUAUGCCUCAAUCCUCUCAGAUGUCAGUGUCUGCACAUCAUUGAUCUCAAUCAAAGUACCGGUCUGCGUCUGAUCCCACCAACUCCUCAGAAUUGUCCUAUUGACCUCAGACUUCUCUACUGAAAUAACUGUCUUCAUGCGUAUACCAAGCCUGUGGAGAGCCACCUCUGCUCCUCCAAUACCAGAGAAUAAAGAUAGUACAUUCAUGCCUUCUGGGUACAUAUCCUUGAGGACUGAGAGAUGGUAAGCAACAGUAUCAACUUGAAAUGAAUUUCCUAGAGAUCGAAACCUCUCUGUCCUGCAGAUACCUCUGGUGUGAUCCUUCGGAAAGCCGAGUAGAAACUCCAUCUCAUCAGGCUCUAGAGGAGCAACCUUGUUUAAGCCAACCCAAGCAAGAUUCCAUUUCCUACACUCCUCCAACACCAGCUUCUGAACUCUUGGAGGAGGUGGAUCUGAACUGUUUGUAAGGGUUACGCGAAUCUUCUCUAACAGUUUUGCACUAGACACACAAGUCUGGAGGCAAUUGAACUGUUGUCUUGGGUCCCAUGAUGGCCACCACCUUUUGGUAUGAGGAAAUGCUACAGUUAUUGUCCUUGGAGGUUUAGGGAGGAGAGGUGACCUGUUCUCAAGUGGCAAAUUGUGUAUAUAACCUCUUUUCCUGGCAGCAGCACAGAAGUACUUCGAGUCCACAAACUCCGGCUGAAUAUCAUACAAGAAUCUUGAUAUGAUAGUCCAGACACCUUUUGGAGCAAGAGCAACAUUCUCAUAGUAGAAGUAUGGUGGACCCAUAGCUAGUGCAGGUAGAUCUCUGUUCACUGGUCUUGGCCACUGAUCUGGCAAGCUAAAUCCAACCAUUGGAUUUGGGAGCAGCAUGGGUUCAUCAGCGCUACCAUCUAAUGGGCCUCUACUUCCCAGUGCUUGACUUCCAUAUCUCUUUCUCUUUUUGUUGUUCCCAUCCAUGAACCUUCCUUUGUUUCUCCCUCCAUCCUGCAGUAUUGCAAACACAGUUCCAUUAUCAGACCAUUAAAUUAGAACUAAAUCUUAUUGCAGACUUGUAUGGACAGUUCACCAAAGACGAACCUCAUAGUCAGACAAAUUGCCACAAUAACCAUCUCCUGCGGUCUGUGAAGCAUAGAUAGAAUCCGCCAGAACAGAAAUAGACGCAUCCUGCCCUGAGUAAUUUUAAACCACAGACGACAGUAGAUGGUGUAAGGUGCAUGAUCAGUGAACAGGGGCAUUUGGAGAAUACUUAGACAAGAUCUAAUGAUAAACUCUGAAGAUAAGUUAAAAUAAAACAGGGGCAAGGACAGAAUCUGAGUAAAUCAAGCUUGGAAAGAAUAAACCAUUCUAGGUUAUCUCAGUUCAAGAUUGUAGCCAAUUUACGAGUUCCAACUUACAGCAUUUGAGGAAAAUUCUCAAAAUCCAGAUUCCAGAGAUAAACCAAUAGAAAGUUAGACAUAUAAUUAAACAUGGCAAUGUUAUUACUCAACUGAUUUAUUCUAUAUGAGAGCAUAUCCUACUUUCAAGGUUGGAAACUGAAUCUAAGGCAAACAGAGGAGCAUGGAAUAAAGGUUCAGAGAGCACACCGCAUCUAGUAAUAGCCAGUGCAGCCUCGUCUUCAGGAAACCCCAUUUUAACUAAGGAAUCAAUUUUGUUGUCCUUCUGUGACAUCUCAUGUAAGAAAUCCUGUGUAGAAAGCACAGGAAAGCACUGAGAAUACAGUUGACAAGCUACAUAAACUAGCAUUCCAAUUACCUUCCAAAGGACAAAAACAACAAUUCUUAUAAUAUGUAUAAAAAUGGGAAGUAUCAUAACUAUGGACAAGUUAGGAAAACAAUUAGUUUCUUAUUGACAAAAACAAAUGUAACUGUAAAAAAAUGGAAGUCCAGCUGUAGUCCAAUUCAAUCAACUCUCAGCUACAUGAAGUCGCAAGCCAAACACCAGAAAGUACAAUGCAAGUUCAAUGUUAGAGUUGAACAGGAAUGUUGUUGCACACAGAGCCUCCAAUUCUCAGGAUCAGUGAUCAAUUGCACAAGUAUCAAAAAAAGGAAAUAGAUUAUAAUUUAUAACCCAUAACUGAAGGGUUUUUUCGUGAAUUAAAAGUUAAAACACUAGGAGAGAGUGCUAUUACAGGGAGGAGGGGGUACACCAAACUUAAGUACAAAGAAAUGAAUGUCAGAUACAAAAUAAGAACAUCAUUAAUGACCCACCCACAAUUUUGCAAUUUCAUUUGUUAGUCCAUGGUGGCGUCUUGUUCAAGAAUGUCAUUAACACGAAAGUUCUAAUCAUACGCAUAAGAUGAAAUGCAAUAGUUCCAAGUUUAUGAUUGACAUAACUUUCUUGCUUACUGUCUUAGUGAUACGAUUUUCUUACAAAAUUAAUGAUUUUGGUUUCAUUCAAACAUGCUGUUUUGCCUAAAAGAACCCGGUUGUCCCAAAAGAUAAGGGACAAAACAAAGUAGAUUGGCUUUCUAGUACAGCUAUGUAGCUAACAGCUGUUUGAAAACCAAAGGAACAGGUGCAAGUAAAAGUAAGGAACCUUAUGGUUUUUUUAUAAGCAGUCUACUUACUGGAUUAACAUUAAACAAGUUUAAUGCAUAAGUAUAUAUAUGAUUGAAGCAAACUAAAUACAUAGCAGGUUUCUCAAAAGAAUAAAGUAAACGCGUACAGUCACCAAGGGGGCGCGUCAAAAUACCUCGUCUCCAGAAUCAUCAACAGAAUUAGCAACUCUGGUGCUUCUCCCACCAGCAUCUAAAUCAUCCCAGUUUUCUAGAAAGUCAUCAUCACCACUAUCGUCAACAGUUUGGGGGACACAACCAGAAGCAAAGCCGUUAUCCACGUUGAGGUCAUUGCCUAGUUCCUGCAUUUAGCAUCACUUUGUAAAUACAAAUCCUUUUUGACACCAUGCAAAAAACAUCAUCAAAGAAUAACUAAUAGAAGCACGAACACAAAUGAAUACCUGGUAAGUAAGAAGCAGCUCAACUAAUGCAUCUGCUCCAUUAUCGCCUGAAAGAAAAAAAGCAGCUGUCAGGUAGAGUAUAUAAAAUCACAUAGAAUCUAAGUGAAUGAGAAGAAAUGGGUUAUUAGCUAAGUACCAUUGUCCUUUAUGGCCUUCACAACAAUCUCUUCUGCGAAACCCAUGUCUAUAUACCUCUGAACCAAAGAGGCAGAUGGCCCAGCCUUCCCAUUGCCAUUAGCAACCUUAAAAUCGGCCCCACAAACAAACAGAAACAUUACAAUGGUAGCCAGCAGAAACAAGGUAACAGUAACACAAAGAGUGUUCGUGUCGCUAUACACUAAUCAUGAUCCUGAUUUUGUUCAUGAUUAUCAUAUAUAUCCACCCCCACCCAGGCCAGUUUAGCGCAAGUGAUUUGAAAAACCCUGAGUAACAUGAACUGAAGAACAACUAGCUGAGUUCACACAUUGCUGCAUGUAUGGAUCAGUUACCUGGCUUACCCGUCUCGAUGGGCCUGGAGCGUCAGUGUUCGUUGAUGCCAUUGCUGAUGAACUGGCACCAGCAGUGUUGAAGCUCCCUGCCUCCUCCCCAUUGCCAUCACUAUCCCAUUCGAAGCUGUCACUGCCAUCACCGUCGCUAACCCAGUGCUGUGACACGAAUUAAGAACUAAACAUCAGGCACAUCGAGAAACAAUAGGACCAAACCACCAUCAAUCCCGAAAUAGCAUCCAAAAUGCAAGCUCUAACUUGAUCCAGUGUUAAGAAAACCCUAGCGCUGAGCAGCAAAAGGGAACAAAACCCAACCUCGCGACAUCAGGGAACCCAAUCUAACGCGCGGAAUCACCGUAGCAGUGGACCAGAUUAUUAGCAUCAAGAAUUCAUGGCGCGAGAGAUCAUCCCUUCACAAUACAUGGAGGCUUCGUUUGGAUAGCCUUGGAUCUGCGGGGAUCGGAAGGGAUUCCGGCCUCCCAUGGAAGCAAACCCACGCUGGAGUUCCAUCCACGUGGAUGCACAGAAACUGCAUUCAGGUCUGGCUUGGUCUCCCUGUCCACUCUAUGUUGUCUUGCUAAGUUUCUUUGUUGUGCAUUUUUAGAGUUCUGAUCUGAGAUUGGGUUGGAUUAUGAAGUUCUAUUAACAAAUGGAUUGUUCUGAAAUAAGAUUGGGUUGGAUUGUAAAGCAGUCUAUAACUGUUCUUAUAAAAAAUUAUAUAUACACUGAUGUACUACCUCUAUGUGUUGCAUGCCUAUAAUUUUCCGACUGUAAUCUUGUUGACAAGUGGCUGCAAUACUACACCAUGAAUGUUCUCAUUAUCUUCUUAUGAUGUUGUUUAUCUCGCCUACUACUAGUAUGUAAUAAAUUAUCUAAUCUAGAACCUGCUGUUUUUUUUUUGUUUUGUAGACAACAAAUCUUGGUCAAUCUUUUUUCUUCAAAGCACUUGGAAUCGACUAGGCAAUCAGAGCUAUUGUUGAAGAAAAAUUGCAAUGUAAUUGUCUGCAAAUAUUUCCAUCUAGCAUUUAUACAAUAUUAUAGAGGAUGGGUUCUUGCUGCAAUAUGUUGAUUUGAGCUUACAACUUCUUACUGAUGAUGUGCUUGAGUAGCUAUGUCUGUCUAAUUACUUUCACAUCUUGUAGCAUAUAUGUCUAUCUAAUUAGCUAUGGGCUUAAGUAGCUCAGGGUUAUCUUUUAUCCAUCUUAAAAUUUCAGAUCUGUGAUGACUUGUUUUUGUGCAUUCGUUUUGACAGAUUAUUGGUAGCUUCUCCCUUCUCCUUUUGUUCCCCACGACUGUGACCUUGUCCAAGAAACAGCAGAAAGCCUCUGUGAUUUUUAGGUAUGGCUUUGGUGAGGUUGCAGAGAAAUCAAGGGCAGGAUCAGGAGCGGAUGAAUACUUCAUCAAGGAAUGCAUUAGUGUCAUCAACACCAUGGUAGAACUCACUAGCGAAGAAAAGGUUGAAGCUUUUGAUGUUUUCAAAGAUGCUUAGAACAAGGAAAUUUUCAUGAAUGCAGAUUCAACAACACGUCUGAUUUGGAUAAGGAAGAAAUGGUUAGUUGUUUAGUUUUGUCUUUGAGUUUGCUGACAUUUUUUUCAUUACUUUCAUGAACUCACUAGAAAGCUUUGCUUUGAACCAGUAUGCACUAUGCAGACAUAAGGGAAACAAGGCAAUUGAAGAAACAGUACGAAGCAGAUUAGGCCUAAACUUGUCCUUUUAUAUCAUUAAAAUUUUAACUAUGUUGUAUCACUAAAAUAUGCUCUCUCCAUUCUCUUUAAUGUAAUCGGAUACUAUAGAUUUUUCUUAUGGUCUUGGAAAUGUGGCACUGACCUGGAAGCUAUUUUGUGUUUACUGUACACGAUUAUUGCUGAUUUGUUUGCUGCUUUGAGGUGUUUGCAGUGUUGAACUAGCCGUGGUCCAACAGAGUGGUUCAGAAAUUUUGUUCUUUGAGUUCUCUACUUGUUGCUCAUCUCCCUGGGGUCUUGCACAGUAUAUAAUAGUCAAUGAUACAAGUGUACUUGACUUAAGCGCUGCCUCUCGUCAGCAAAUCUUUUAGCAAUACAAGUGUACUGACUGACUGUGAAAAACUUUGGAGAAUUGAAUGAUCAUAUAUUGUUUGUUCUUACAGAGUAGUUUUCAGACUUUGUACAAUAGAGCUUGCUUUCGGUCUUCCGUUUCGUCAGUCUGGCAGAUGAUUCAGAGUUGUAAAAGUAUUCUUGCCUUGUUGCUCACCAAUGUCUAAAAGUAUGAAUACUUUGCUUGCAGGAAAGAAGUGAAAGUGCACCUUUCGUUUCAAGUGCAAGUCUAAGUGGUUUCAGUUCAACUUCUUUCGGCACCGCUGGGAUGCUAGCACUAUUUUAUUUAUUUAGGAAUCUUGAAAACAAAUGUCUUGUUUCCUAAAUUUGUGUAUGCAUGUGCAAGCCCUAGUUCAAUAUGCUGAUGGUCACGUCUUCCUUACUUAGCCGUGAGCUACUUCGAAACUUGGUGAAGAAUGUUCUGGUAUAUGACCAUGUGAUGUGAUUACAUUCGACAUAUUUUUUCUUAUAAUGUUUCAAUCGUUGCUGCACCUUCCAAUACAUUUAUUUUUUAUUUUUUACUGAUGAAAAAUGGCUUCUCUUGCUCAUUUUCUGUUAUUUUUGAAUUUUAGACAUGGAUUUUGCUAGUAUUUUCUUGAAUUUUAGAGCUCGUUUUUGUGCUCUCCCAUGGUUCGGUUCUGAAUUCUAGAACACUACCAUUUUGAAUUAUGGUUAAAUAAUCAGUAAAUUCAACAUUGAAUUAGCUUUGAUGAGCAUUAGUAGUACACGAACACAAUAAAACGCCAAACUGAGCUAAUUAGCGCACAAUCCAAAUGAUGCCAGGGAAUCAAGGGAUUGGAUCACGUUGGUGGGAGGGGAUUGGGUGGUGGGAGGGGAUCAACCCAAUCCCUGCGUGGGGGAUUUCUCUCUUGUAUUACUUUCCCCAGCAGCCAAACGAAGCUGGAAGGGGACAGAGUAGAGGAAAGCAGGGGAAGGGAGGUCUUACCGCCAUUCCCGAACCUUCGCGAAGGGGCUCCGGGGGCUGAGGCACCGGACGGAGUGGGACGGCGCAGCCUCUCUCCGCCCCCCCUCGGACUACCUCUGCCGCUUCUCCCCUCCCGUCGCCGUCGGCCCCGCCCCUCCUCGGACUACCUCUGCCGCUUCUCCCCUCCCGUCGCCGUCGGCCCCUGCGCGCUGGGAGUUGGGAGGCGGUGGCAGAGGAGGAGGAGGAGCAGGAGGCCGCGCCGGCGACAGGGCGGCUCUGCCUGCCUCCACCGUCUCUGCUUUGCCCGCUUUUAGACGAGAGGGGGAGACGGCGAAUCUCCAAGCAAGUCUCAACAAGAAACUCACGCGCCGCGCCCGCCAAACAGCACCAGCAAUGGGCAGGUCGCUGGUGGUACGCCACUGGCAUGUGGGGACAGCCUCAUGUGUGCCAGGGCUGUCAGCGAGAGAGUGCGGCACUGUCCCGGGAACGCCGGUACCAAUAAAUGUACGUCUCGUUUUUUGAGUCAAACAUGGUUAAGUUUAAUCAAAUAUAUAAAAAAAUAUACUAAUAUUUAUCAUAUAUAAUAUAUAUCAUUAAAUUCGGUAUAAAAUAUACUUUUAUAAUAUAUUAUUUAUAUAUAUAAAUAUUAAAAUUAUUUAAUAUAUUUUUAGUUAAAUUUAAAAAAGUUUAAUUUUUCAAGAUUUACACAUGCAAUAUUUAUUUGUAGACAGAGAAAGUAGGUGGUGAAAGAUCCUGUGUGGCGGCUGAUCAGUGGUCACCGGUGUGGGGAGCAUUUCCCGAUGAUAACAGAAGCAGAUGGAGUCGGGGUUCCAUUUCGAAUUUGGUGAGGCACACGGCCAGAUGCAGAGUCGCGGCGCAGCGCAGAUCUCAAGAUAAUGAGAAGAGAGAGAAAAACUGUAUUUAUGUGGUGGUGACAGGACAUGUCAUCCACCACAGCGCCUUUAAGGCACCGCUAGCUGUCACGCGCAUUGCGUGACAGUCUUUCACUGGUUUUAUAUAAUUUAAUAUAAAAAAUAUUAUUAAGUUAUUUAGGCUAUUAUAGUUGUCAUAUAUUUUAUAGUGUGAUAUAGCUUUUAAAGCACCGUAGAUAUAGCGAUAGCAUGUGAUCGUUUUUAUAUGAUUUUUAUAUAAAAUAUGUUAUUAAAUUAUUUAUUAUAUCAAAUAAGUAGUGCUUUGUUAUACAUGUAAUUAUUUUUAGAUAUAAUAUAUUUUAUAUAAUAAAUAGAGUUAAAUGCAGUGGCAGUCCUUAAACUUGUGGUCCUAACCAUUUACAUUUAGAUCCAAAACACUCAAAAUUAAAAUCUAGUCCAAAACACUCAAUCUUGGCUGAGUGAGGAGGCGGAGGCGAGUGUGUCAGCGAGUCUGCGACGCUUAGGUCCUGAUGCUGGGUGAGGCAGAGGCGGAGGCAAGGCUCAAGCAGGAGAGGCGGGAGUAGAGCUUUGAGCAGGUGGAGCCGAGACAAAGGAAAGGAGAGAAUCAAGAGGAUUUUCUCCACUGCUGACUAACAGUCCAUCCAACGGUCAAGUUGAAGCAGGAUACGGAGAGAAUAAUCAUGAGAAAAUAUGUUGAUCUAGAAUCUAUAUAGCUUUUAGCAUGAUUAAGAGGAGAGAAGCAACCCCAAACAGGCAGCCAAACUAUUUAGAGCAGGCGAUGUUUUUCGGUGCCAGCGAGAUAUUAGUGUGGCUCAAUUAUUUGCUCAAACACCACCGUGAUGCCAUUGCUCUACUCUAUCGGCCUCAUGUGCCCCGCCGCGUCCCGGUGAGCGUCGCUCCAUCGCGCUCGCCACUAGACUUAGGCGUUCACUCCAAAAACUAAAAACUUUUUAAAAUUUUCUAUCAUAUCAAAUCUUGGAGCACAUGCAUAAAGCAUUAGAUAUAGACGAAAAUAAAAACUAAUUGCACAAUUUGAUUGUAAGUCACGAGAUAAAUCUUUUGAAUCUAGUUAGUUUAUAAUUAGAUAAUAUUUGUUAAAUAAAAAUACUACAAUGCCAAAAUCCGAAAUUUUUUCGGAACUGAACAAGGCCUUAGCGAGCAUCGCUUGACCGCACCACCGGCCGUUCAUGGUUUGCAGCCACGACAAGUGCUGAUUCUUCUUUUUGCAUGAGCUACUCCGAAAACAGAACAAGCUACUCUCAGGCUAGGAGUUAAAAGCUAUAUAGAUUAACAGAGGCCAUUCGAAUUUCAAACCACCGGUGAAAAAAUAUUAUUGGCUUUUAAUGGCAAUUUGCAAAUAGCUAGCUUAAAAAGUCGCUAGCUAUUAGAAAGUCACUAGCUAUUGUGAGAGAGUUAUUUCUAGAAGAUCGUGCUAGAUUAGCUAUUUAUGAUUCGCUAGCUAUUAGGAAGUCGCUAGCUAUUUGAUCUCUCUCCUCGAUAGCCAAUGAGAGUGCUACUUUUUUAUUAUUUUUAUACGUCAUCUCGCUAGCUAUUUGUAAAGUGCUAUUGAGAGCCAAUAGAAUUUCUCCUAACUAGCUAUUUGAUAACCAUUGUGGAUGACCUUACAGCCAGAAAAGCUGCUCUAGUCUCUAGAACUGUAUUUUUCUUUUACGGUUGAAGUAUAUUAGUAUUAGCACUUCAAGGUGGAGAUGCAACUAACCCAUCAGCACUAUUUUUUUUAGCCAUUAAACAGUGUUUUUCUCUCAUUAAUAUCGGCGUUAGUCUUUUUUCAACCAGCCGACCUUGUUUGGAUAUUAUCGGAUUCGCAUCAAUCCACAUGUGUUGAUGUAGAUUAGAGUGGAACUUGAACUAAAUUCCACCUCAAUCCACUCCAACACAUAUAGAUUGAGAUAAAUCAUAUAACAUACAAACAAAGGCCUAACGCAGUAGUUGUCACACAUUGAAGGGGUGUUUGGUUGAGAUUGUUAAAGUUUAACAGGUACUAUAGCAUUUUUGUUUUAUUUGACAAUUGGUGUCCAGUCAUGAACUAAUUAGACUCAAAAGUUUCGUCUCGCAGAUUACUCUCUAGCUAUGUUUUUAGUUUCGUAAAUAGUUUAUAUUUAAUAUUUCAUGCAUAUGUCCAAACAUUCAAUGUGACAGAUAGUAAACUUUAACUGGUGCAACCAAAAAGGGCCUAUGUUCUCCACCCUUUUUCCACUCUCAUGUAGUUUUCAUAUAUUUUGUCCGUCUAAAAAAAAUGUAAUUCUAUAUUUCUGGAAGCAACACUCAAGUAAGGAGAGGUGAGAGCCAGGCUACAGUAGGUGGAAGCGACACCGAGAGGAAACAAAGAAUUGAGGGGAUUUUCUCCAUUGCUCUCUAGUAUCGAAUUUCGUGAUCAAUUGAAAUGGGAAGGGGAGAGAAUCCUGGAAAAACUAAGUUGGUCUAGAGUCAUAGCGUCUAGCACGAUUAAGGGAAGAGAAGCGACCAAGAUCAAAACAGCUGUGGUGGAGCAGUUUGCUGAGACAGCCAAACUUGACAAAGCAGGCAACAUCUUCAAUGUCUGCGAUAUACUAGCUUUUGCUCCGCUUUGGCUUCUAAUUUCAAGAGGCAUUGUGUGGCGUCCUCUCCACCACCACCACUGAUGCCUUCUACUUCAACUCGGUGGAUAUGCUCCUAAGAUCGACGCCUAUAAGGUUUUCUCCGAGGUUUGUCCUGCACUCUAGUUCACUCACUUCACUUGGGUCCAGGCCAUGCUCGACGAGCUCGGUGGCGCCACCUGAAUCCACAUAUUCGACUUCGACAUUAGCGUUGGUGAGCAAUGGGUGUCGCUCAUGUAGGAGUUGGCCCAACUCAAACCGAGCACGACAGUCAAGGUCACUACAUAUCUCAUCUAGACGGUUAUGGAGUGAAAUUCUAAAGCAUAUGUUGUAUCUUUCAUGGUUUGAGAUGUAUUUUUUAUUAAGUUUCUUAUAUGUUUUUUGUACUAGUUGUAGAACGAUAGAUCUUAGGGGGUGUUUGGUUAGGGUGUUCAAGUUUAACAUGUACUAUAAUAUUUUCGUUUUAUUUAAUAAUUAGUGCUCAAUCAGAGAUUAAUUAGUUUCAAAAGAUUUAUCUCGUAAAUUGCUCUCUAGCCAUAUUUUUAGUUUCGUAAAUAGUCUACAUUUAGUACUUCAUGCAUGUGUCUAAAUUUUCGAUGUGACGGACGGUAAACUUUACCGCUUCAAAUCAAACCGACCUAUGUCAAGGUUGAUUGUUAAAUUUGACAUAAGAACUGUUCAUAUAGAAUAUCAGUUGCGUGUUAAAAUAAAGCCUGAAACAAACCUGUUCACUUGAGCUUAUCAUCUAAAUCUAUCAACAACAAAUCAGUUUGCAGUACUUUCUAAAGCAUAUGUUGUAUAUUUUUAUCUUAGAUUUUUUAUAUGCAAAUUUAAGCUACGCUAUGCUGAGUUUUAAUAUAAUUCUUAUUUUUUUAGAAAAAAAAGAAACUAGAAAGAGUAUAAAAUUCCGUUCGCCGGUGAAAUGCUUGACACGGAAAGGUUAACAAGGCCAAUCGAAUUUCAACGAAGCAGAGUUCUGUACCUAGCACACUGCAUUCGUGUGCUGGAGAUUGACAGCCUCUGAUCACUUUUACUACAUGGCUUGAUGUAGUCUGUAUUACUGAUUCCUAUGUUUGGCCUUGUUCAGUUCACAAAAUUUUCUGAAAAACAACGUUGUAGCACUUCGUUUUUAUUUGACAAAUAUUGUCUAAUCAUAGAGUAACUAGACUUAAAAGAUUCGUCUCGCGAUUUACAGAUAAACUGUGUAAUUAGUUUUUGUUUUUAUAUAUAUUUAAAGCAUCAUACAUGUGCCGCAAGAUUCGAUGUAAUGAGAAAUCUUGAAAAAUCUUGGGAACUAAACAAGAACAGACUUAGAACUUAGUAGGGUUCUGGAUUCCUCUUUCUCGGGCCUUGUUUAGUUCAAAAAAAUUUGCAAAAUUUUUCAGAUUUCCCGUCACAUCGAAUCUUUAGACGUAUACAUGGAGUAUUAAAUAUAAACGAAAAUAAAAAUUAAUUACACAGUUUGGUCGGAAUUGAUGAGACGAAUCUUUUGAGCCUAGUUAGUCUAUGAUUGAACAAUAUUUGUCAAAUACAAACGAAAGGGAUAUAGUGUGGAUUUUCUAAAAAUUUUUGGAACUAAACAGGGCCCGAAUAGGCCCGAAUAUGAGAACUUUGGGAAGCCACACGAGUGACCACAGAGUUGCCGUCGCAGCAUGCAGCUCAAUGCAAUGCAAGCGGGAGGAGGAGCUUUCAGAAAAGUGGGAAGAUUGAGAAAAAUUGUCUUCGAUGCUAGUGGGAGGAGAGAGAAAAACUGUUUUGAUUGUAGUGUAAGGAGAAAGAAAUCUAAUGUAUUUAUUAUUAUAGCUGUCACGCGUUAUAUGAUGUGACAGCGUAGAUUAUUUUUAUAUAAUUUUAUAUAAAAAUAGUAAUAUUAAAAUAUCUAUUAUAUUAGUGGACAUAUGAUUUAUUUUAUUAUGUUAUCUUUUAUAGUAUAAAUCAAUCCAUUUGUUACCAUAGAUGUCACGCACUAAUGUGUGUCAGCUUUAACCAUUUUUUACACGAUUUCAUAUUACAGGUGCUAUUAAAUUAUUUAUUAUAUAAGUGACGUUUUGAUAUGUGUAUAAUUAACCUUGUCUUAUCUUUCAUGUAAUUUAUUUUUAUUAAUGAUUUACUAAUACUCCUUCCGUCCACAAUUAUCUAUCCGAUGCUAGUCUUUUUUAAGAAUCUUAAACCGUUUUAUGAAAAUGGCAUGCUGAUUCAAUAUUUAAAAUUUUUUGGAAAGUAAAGUACUCCGUAUUUCGGUGAUUCGAAAGUUUAGAAUCGGCCACACGGUGUGAAAUGGUUGCAGCCACGGGCCACGGCAAGUGCUGAUUCUUCGUUCUUGUACGAGGUAGUCCGAAACCAGAACAAGACUCUGAGUCCUAAUCUAGGAGUAUAAACUUCCGUUCCGCAGUGAAAUCUAUCACGGAUAGAGGCCAUUCGAAUUUCACGGCACCGAUUGUUAGCAGAGUUUUGUUUCAAACAGAAGCACCCUUUUUAGGCCUUGUUUACAUACGCCCAAAAGCCUAAAACUUUAUAAGAUUCCCCGUCACAUCGAAUCUUGCGGCACAUGCAUGAAGUAUUAAAUAUAGAUAAAAAGAAUAACUAUUUGCACAGUUUAUUUAUAAAUCACGAGACGAAUCUUUUAAACCUAGUUACUCCAUAAUUAGACAACGUUUGUCAAAUAAAAAUGAAAAAUACUACAUCCAAAAACCUUUUGCAUCUAAACAAGUCCUUAGUGCCGGAAAAGCUGUCUGAACUACUGCUAUCUCAAGAUGCAACUAUCAGUUAAAAUGCUUUAUAUUUAACAAAGCUUCCAGUAAAUAGUAUUCAUAUUAUGAUUUUAAAUUAAUUUAUUAUAAAAACAUAUUCUAUAACUAAUUUAAUAAUAUUUAUUUAUGACAUUAUACGUAUUUAUAAUUUCUUAUGUAUAAUUGGUCUAUACUAAAAUAUGACACAAUUUUAGAAUUACAUUUUUUAAGAAUAGAGGAGUACUACAACAGUUACGUGGAAGAGAUAUAGAACCAACACAGGUCUGCUUGGUUACUCCUAUUUUUUUAACAUCUAUCGUAUUAAAUGUUUGGAUACAUAUAUGAAAUAUUAAAUAUAAACUAUUUAUAAAACUAAAAACACAUCUACAAAGUAAUUUACGAGACAAGUUUUUUAAUCUAUAAUUAAACAUUAAUUGUCAAAUAAAAAAAACCGACAAUAUCAACUUUUAUACCUCUCCAAACAUCCCUAACAUGGCAGCUGUCACGCAUUAUGCGUGCCAGCCUUUGACCACUUUCACGUGGUUUUGUCUACUCUCUUCAUCCAAAAAAGCUGCAAAUUCAAGGACUGAGCACAGAAAUCAAGGUCUUGUUUAGUUCGUAAAAAUUUUCAAGAUUCUCUGUCACAUCGAAUCUUUGGUCGCAUGUAUGGAGCAUUAAAUAUAGACGAAAAUAAAAACUAAUUACACAGUUUAUCUGUAAUUUGUGAGAUGAAUCUUUUGAGUCUAGUUACUCCGUGAUUGGAUAAUGUUUGUCAAAUAAAAACGAAAGUACUACAGUAGCCAAAAACCAAAAAUUUUGCAAACUAAACAAGGCCAAGAAUAGAUGUGAAAUUACAUAAAUACACCUUGAGGUCUUGUCUGUUACACUCGAAAUCUAUUUUUUUUAAGAUUUCUAUAUACGAAACAUUAAAUAUAAAUUAAAAAUAAUUAAUUUUAUAGUUUACUUAUAAUUUACGAAACAAAUUUUUUGAGUCUAAUUACUCUGUGGUUGGACAAUAAUUAUCAUAUACAAACAAAAAUACUAUAGUAUCUUAAAAACUUUUUAUCUACGGAAGCAAACAAGGCAUAAACGAGUGGAUGAGAAGUUCGUGUCUUUUUUUCAUUAUUAUUAUUAGGCCAGUCUUAGUGGUCCGUUUCAAUGUACUGUUUCCAAAACAAAUCCACUGACAGGCAUCAAUGAAACGAACAAUGAAACAACCUCCACAAUGCAUGAGUUUUACCUUAACGUUUUCUAGGCUAAGCAAAGCAUUUAAUUACUGCAAAAUGAUUGGAUCACAUGCAAGAUUGUGAAACGAUUUAGCCCUCAGUGGGGAUUUCAUCCCGUUUCACCGCGUGGGAAACAACGCCCGCGGGGUUUCACCAUGGUGAAACUACUUUCUUCUCUCUUCUCUCCGUUUUAUGCAAAAAGUAUAGUUUUACUGAUAUGACGCUCUAAUAAAUGUGCAUGAUAUCCUAGUAAAACCUCUACUGAAACCGACCUUAUAGUGCAGCCGAUCACACAUGUGGUUCCUAAGGCUCUCCAUGCAUGUACACCUGGAGAAAUGGCUAGGAAGGAACUUUUUUUAUGCGUGGGUCUCACAUACCCCUAACAGGUGCAGUUCUUUUAAGAUAAAUUUUGAAUUUAGAAUUGUAGUCUUUUUUUCAGGAUGGAAAGUAGGCAAUUCUGUAUUUUGAAUAAUUCAAACUUUUCUAUGUUAAACUAAAAUUUUAAAAUCAUUAUCAAUAUUUAUGUUUUCAUUAGAUUUACUAUAAAAAUAUAUAUUCCAUUAGAAUGAUAUUUAUUCGGCACCUUUGUAAUUUAUUUAUAGAUUUGGUGAGCCUCCUCGAAAAAUGAUAAUUAUAUCAUAUACUCUUAUAAAGCUAAAUCCUACUAGAUGAUUUCUCUUUUCAUAUAAGGUGUCACACACCAUUCUCCACUAAGUGAUCCACUAAAUAUUCUAUCUCUUCAUGCAAGGUGUCCAUACCAUUCCCCACUAAGUUUAUGUCAUUCCAUAUUAAUUACAAAAAUAUCAUGUCAUCUAUAUCAUGUGAAAUACUUUAAAUAAUUAAUCUAUUAAUAUAUAUAAGUCAUCUACAUACAUUAUUUGUUUGAUCACUUAUUUCUCUACAAUGCAAUCAAAUAUUCAAUUAUUUUUCUUCUAUUAGCUCAGCGAUUGUUUACCAAAUCUAAUAUAAUACAAUAAUGUUUUAUAUAUAAUAAUGUUAUAUGUAUAUAAAAUAUACUUAGUAUCAUACAAUAAUGUUAUAUAUAUAAUACUUUUUUUAAAAAAAAAUCCUCAAGCAACACACGAGGGAUUUAUCUAGUUGUGUUUAAGAUAGAGGGAGUAGGAGAUAUUAUUAUUUUAUUUGUUUUCCUAUUCAGCUAGUUCUAUUUAUGUGUGUAAUCAUUUAAUCAACGUCAUUGUUGUUAGGCCAGUCUCAAUGCAUAGUUUCAUGUCACAGUUACCAAGACUAUAAAUUAGGUAACCGAGCAAGAUGAGUUUCAUGGGGUGAAACUCCUCUUUCAUCUGAUGAAACUCCUUCAUUUAAUGACUCUGCCAAGUCAGCAAUUUUGCUUAUGUGGCAUCUUAUUUAAUGUGCGUCACACUCCCAUGAAAUAUACAUUGAGACUAGCCUUAGGCCCCAUGGGAGAGCUCUCGGACUUGAUUCUCCGAUGAACUCAAUGGGAGCUCUCCUAUUUAAAGUGAUUCUUUAAAAUGAAUAGAACUAAGAGGGUGAGAGCUAAAACAUAUAGCUUUUCCUGAUUCUAUGUAAUUUUAAGAGUUUAUGCUAGAGAACCAAAGAGAAUCACUUUCAGAUAAAGAAUUAGAUGGAGCUCUGCUAAAGAAGCCCUUAACCAUUCAUGUGAUUCAUUUUCUCAUGAAAGAUUAAUGAUUUAUUAGUACUCCCUCCUUAGGUAUUUAUUGUUUUACUUUAUGUUAGCUAUAAUCAAAUCUCUUCUGGGUAUUUUAUUAAAUUAAUUUUUACAAACACACGAUUAGUUAGUUCUGGUGAAAACUGUUUAGAAGUUUCUUGAAAAGUAAUUUAGCAUUGGAACCACUCUAAUUAAGAGCAGAGCAGGCACAGGACGUGCCUACGAAAUUGUCUAUAAAAAAGACGUGCCUACGAACUAUCACCGUUGCUAGCAAGGUUAAGCUGAACUGCUGAUUAUUGCAGGAAUCCGAAACCAGAUCAUCACGCUCUAGCAGGAAUCCGAAACUAGCUCUAACGCAAGGACCAAAUGUUCAAUCGGUAGUGAAAACACCAGAAAAGGCACCUCACUAGCGUGUCCGGCGUCCCAACUCGAACAGCUUGUUCGCUCGCCGAAUUGAUCUACCAUAACAGGAAAUAAUAUUUCAACCAUAGCUUUUUAGCCAGAUGAGUGCAAAUCACUAAGGCUGUCUCCAAUGGGAGAUCCAUUUGGGAACCCAAACCCAAAAUGGGUCUUCAACACAAUACCUAUAGCCUCCAAACAGAGUACCCAUACAGAAGACCCAUUUUGUGUAUCAAGAGAGGCAUAACCCAAAUUUAGGUAUCCUCUCUCCUUGAGACCUAUUUGCAGAGAGUGUUGUCUCUUAGGUCUUGUUGUUGGAGAAGACUAAAAAUAGGUAUGGAACCCCAAAGGACAAAUGAGUAUUGUAUUUUGGGUAACAAUUGUUGGAGAUAGUCUUAGCUCACGCUCCCGUGAAAAGCAGCUGAUCGUUUAGCUGAAACAUAUGCUAUCUGUUUCACUGAAAAACUAGACUAAAAAGUACUUGUUUAUUAAUUUUGACGAUUUCGCCAACAUCAUUGAAAACGCCUACACACACGUACGUAGCUACAUUCUGCUAGAUCAUGAUUUCGCCAACGUCAUUGGAGACACCUAAGCUCUAGCUUGCAUCUAUGUCUAUCUUAGAUUUCUUUCAAUAAUGUUAUUUUAUUCCUCGACGUAACCAAACACCAUGAAUGCGCUAACGAGGCAAACAUUGCAAGAACUCUAAUAAAAUUUUGCCUACUUGUCAAAAAAAAAAUCGCCUUGAGAAAAAAAAAUCUUGGACAUUCGUGGGCCCUUGAGAAAAAGAUUCUUGGACAUUCAUGGGCUGUGAUGGUAGGUGAAGAAAAGACUACAUGGGCCCAUAUUGCCCAGUUUAGAUUUGAAAUUUUUUGGCUAAAGUGGUAAAAAUUUUUGUGGUCACAACACGCGAAAAAUUUUAGGUGUUUAGUUUGGCAAAAUUUUUUCUGACACAACUUGGGCUACAUGCAUUUGCAGUUGUCGUUGGUGGGCUUCUAUGGGAGUGCGUGCACAGUUGCAGCCAAAAUUUUUGUCCCAAAAUUUUUUGGCCCCGUUUAGUUCUCAGGCCCCAAUUCCAUAAAUUUUUUUCUCUUUGGGCCAAAAAAUUCAAAUCUAAACAGGGCCAAAAAAACAAAGAUCAAUUACAUCUAUGCCAUUAUAAAUUCGACAUUUACAUCUUAAUAAGGACGAGGCAUCAUCAUUUAUUGCGUACAUGUAUUUAUAAGGUCUGUAUAUACAUGUGUAUGUGUUUACGUUAUACUGUAUAAUUCUCAAAAAAAUAUGAUAUUUUGUACGACUAUACAGACAUAUGAAUAACUUUGUUUUUUGUAUGGACAAAAUUGUCACUUUCUCAGUUCCUCAUUCUCUCUUUCUCCCAUUCAUUGCAUAUGGGCCCCACUUGUUGGAGUCUCCCUCCCUCACUCUAUUGUCUUCUCCGUCUCAGGUCAGAGCUUAUCAGGCUGUUGCACUACUCACCAAGCCCGCAUGCUCGCGGCAACACUCGCCGAUUGGACCCACUCCACCACCCGUCAACUAUGUGCUUCGUCGCCGACCUGUCACGGCGGUCACAUGCUCGUUGUAGCACCCAUCCGAGUUCAUGUGUUAUGGUCGGUGUUACCACUAGACGAGACUAAAAGGUCUAUAUUUAAUCUGGAUUGAUGUUACCAAUUGGGACUAAAGUUUUUCCGACGUCUAAGAAACUUGGACCCAAGACUAAUGAUCACAUUAAUCCUGAGUCCAUUUAUACCAAGACUAAUAUGCUAAACUGAAAGUCAUUUUCUCUACUAGUGGUUAUGCAUAUAUAUAGACAUGUAGUGAUGUAGUUAAGGCCCGUUUAAGGUUUUUUACACUAAUAACAAAGUUUCCUUUACAAAAUUAUAAUACCUGUUUUGACUAUAUAUGCCAUCGAGUUGGGGAUGACAAAGAUAAAGUUGUAACAUAGUCAAAGUUAGUUAAGUAUCUCUAUAAAUAUUGUUAAUUUACAGCAAAAACGAUAAUUCAUCUAUUUUUAAUCAUAGUAUUAUGAAAUGCGACAAUUCAUUUAUUUUUUGUUAUGAAUACUUACUAUACAUGUAAAAUUACUAAAAAUUUAAUAAAAUAUAUACUUAUGUGUAUCAUCCUAUUUGUUCGACCCUCCUUAAUCGAAGUUGUUGGCUCCACCUCUGGCUGAUAGGUUCCACCACAACAAAUCUGCUAACCGAUUAAGGUAAGAGUGCUUCCCCAACGCUAAAGAAGUUUUCGUAUCUCUUUUCUCUACAGAAAAAAAAACAAAGGAAAUGUUGUGGUCGGUGUUGUGUGAUGUUGUGUGUGUUGGGUGGUCGGGGGACUAGCUGCCGGGUUGGAGAUGUGAGGAUUCAAACAAAACAUGAAAUGCUCCAGAAUGCUGGGCAUUUUUUUUUGUUAGCAAUCCACUGAAAACUCAAUCGGGAGAAGAAUAAUAAAUGUUUUAAACCAGAAAGAUGUUCCAAGCAUGUACGGGAAUUCUACUCGCAAGUCAUUAAAAGUAUACUCUUAGCAAAAAGAAAUAGGUAAAAACCUGAAAUUCUACCAGUAAGAAUGUUUUUAAGAUUUAGCAAAACUAUUGUUCUUCUGUACCUCAUUAUUAUAAGAAUUAUUUCAUCCAAAAUAAAUAAACUGUUCUGAUCAAUAAAAGCGUACUGUAGAAAUUAGGAUAACUUUAUUACUGUAUCUGUAUCGUUUUACCAAGAAUAAGAAGAAGAAGAAGAAGAGUGAUUAAAAAAUACUUUCCUGACGAUAACAAAAUAAAAAUUUACUUUAGGUAUUUUUUUCCUCAAAACAAAUCAAUGAAUAGUUUUCUUCAGUCAUAACUUUUCAGACAGACGAAUAGCUCUAAAAGCCUAAAUGACUUAUUUUAGGAACGAAAAUGAGUAAAUGACAUCUUCAUUCUUAAAGCAUCAACGUGAAAGUAGUAUCUUAACUCAGUCCGUAGAUGUAGGUUAAAUAUAAAUUAUCAUCACUAAAAUGGCCUGUUAUAGGAACAAAAAUGGCUAAAAACAUACAUAAAAGAGAUUUCAGAAAUUGCUUAAAUAUCGAUCGAUCGAUCGAACACUCAACGCAGAAGCGAGAUCACUGAAGCAAAGCAACGACAAAAGUAUAAGAGUACAUGGAACAUUCUACUGAUGGUCGAUGAUGACAGACACAACUGAGCACGCAUGCAAGCUGUUUUUUUUUUAUUCUUAUUAUUCAGAAGAUUCUUCAUCAGAGAGCGGGGCACGCGCACGACGUCCAGUAUGAAGUCUUCUACUCACGACGGCGGCCGCCGCAGCUAGGCGCGGGCUCCGCCUCCUCCCCGCCGGCGACGAGGUGCUCGUACAAGACGCCGGAGAGGCCGGCGCCGACCAUGGGCCCGACCCAGUACACCCAGUGGUUUCCCCAGCGUCGGGAGCCCACGACCGCGGGCCCGAACGCGCGCGCCGGAUUCAUCACGGCGCCCUCCAGCGCGCCGCAGGCCAGCACGUUGGCGCCCGCCAGGAGCCCCACGGCGAGCGGCGCCGCCACGGCCCCGGCGCCGGCGCCGGCGCGGACCCUCCGCGUGUGGUGGUCCAUGACCGUGACGAAGUAGGCGUGCAUGAGCCCGAACGCCAUCGCCGCCUCCAGCACCGCCGCUUGCCACCCGCUCACGCAGCCCGCCAGCGCGUACUCCGGCAGAUGCUGCGUGGACGAAACAUGUGUGUUUAGUUGUCGCGUUAGUCAGCUUGCACAAUGCAAGGCGACAGUUUUAUGUAGCUUAGCUGUUUCAGUUUAUCGACGGGAACGGGAUCGAGUACACACGUACCAUCCCUCCGGUGGCGAGCCUGAGGACGAGCGCGGCGGCGACGGCGCCGAGCAGCUGCGCGGCCCAGUAGACGAGGGAGCGGACGAGGCAGAUCCGGCCGGCGAGCAGCGCGCCGAAGGUGACGGCCGGGUUGACGUGACCGCCGGAGGUGUUGGCGGCGCACGCCACGGCGGCGGCGAGCGCGAGAGCGUGCGCGAGCGCCACCACCACCAGACCGCCCACGACGCCGCCGCCCUUGUCAUGGCGGUGCAUUCUCCCUGCGUAGCGUAUGUAAGUAGUAGGCACACGUGAGAGGUUAGUUGGUUACGACGUACGUACAGCAACGUGUAUACGCAGGGUAGGUACCGAGGGAGAGCGUGGCGCCCUCAGCGGCGAAGACGAAGAUGGCGGUGGCGAGGAGCUCGGCUGCGGCGCGGCGGAGCGUGGCAGGGUCCGUGGCCGUGGCCAUGUGGCCGACGGUGAACCGGCGCCGUACCGACCUGAUCAUAUUCAUGGCUAGCUGAUCUAUCUAUCUAAUCUGUCAGGCGCUAGGUUACAGAUCGGAUUAUCCGAUCGAGACCUGGUUAUUACUGCCACUGGCAGCGAGCUAGUAGGGAUAACGAUGAGGGCUGGCGGCGAGGGUGCUUAUAACGCGGGGGGAGAUCGGAAGAGACGACGGAGCGUCACGUUUUGGAGCGUGCAACGAUUUGCCGUAUGCAGGCGUGCGUGGUGCCUCGUCAGUCACACACACCGGACCGGAUCCUAUAUAUCCGCCGUCGGAGGAAUAAAGCAAAGCACGGCCGUCGAUGGAUGCACACCUGCAUGCAUGCGUUUCGACGUCAGGCAGUUCCUUCUUGUGGAUCCAAAGGCCUGGCGUGCAAGCUUUGAUGUGUGUCGUCGUUUUGGCCUGGAAAUCAGUUGGCAGAAGUGGCCUGGAAAAUCAGGCUUUGAUGUAUCUACUGUCAGUACUCUGUGUGCUGCCUAAUAAACUGGCCUUGGCCAGGCCAGCUAUUAUCCAUGUUUUGCUUCGAUUUUUUUGUGCUUUUAAAUCUUCUGCAUUUUUUAGAUGGCCUUUUAUUUUCUAGCGUGCGUGGGCACGGCCGGUUCAAAAGCUAGCGUUUCUACCACCACGUCGGACGUUUAUCCAGUCUAGCUACUAGAGAGUUCUUUGUUGGGCGUUGCUACUUUUUUAAGCGAGCACAAUUUCCCCGUGUGUUUUCCGUCAGCCGUGUCCAGAGAUGAACAGUUUUGUGGCACAAACUAUACUGCUAUGUAGUGUACUCCGUAACUACAAGUAUAUAUUGUGUUGCUGUGUAUAAUGUGGUGUUAGGGACGUGGCAAUGCCAUGGUCGUUGUGUACAAAUUAACAACUUCAAUGCGCCCUUCGGCUAAGUUGUUUUAGCCCAAAAACAUUUUCCCCCAAAAUCGAGUAAAAGUAUGUAAAUUUGCAAUUUGAAAUAUCAUGUAAUUUAAUAGCACAUAAAAUCCAAUUCACAAAGCACAUAUAAAAUUAAGGUUUGAAAUCUGAAACUAAGUUCAAAAGUAUUCAAAUCAUGCUCUCCAGUUCUUUGGAGAUGCCUGUGAUGCACAUGCUUAACAUACAAAUUAAGAUUUGAGUCGUUACAAGAGAAGCACCAUGUUUUCUUCUUACGAGCCACAAAGUUGGCGUAAGUUUGUUCGGUUUGGUCUUCAAUCGGUCUUCCUUCCAUUAUGUCCACCCCUAGGAUGCUAUGGGACCAAGCAUGUGAAACAGUGCAGCAACUAGGGUCUUCAGUGCACCCUAAUCAACAUUGAGGCCUACUUUGGAAGAAGGGGGAGCAAAACCAAGGAUUGAAAACCCUUCAUUAAGAACUAAGAUGAUAAUUAAAAUAAUAUCCUCAUGUUACCCACCUAGGGAAAAGUUUGGGAUCCCGGAGGGAUUAAAGUUUCCAAAUUACGUAUUAUAUACAUUACGGAGAAAACUAUAUCAACAACACUACGUUUGAAUUCAGAUUCUAGCUCGGAGAGCACCAACAAAGAGAUCAAUAGACACAACACAAGUACCCCGAUUGGAAUGCACAAACUGGAGUUCGCCCUUGGUCCCUCUAGGACCGGAGACAAUUUAUGCAAUUAAUUACGUACACACAGAAGUAGCUAAACAAUUGUUCAAACAAAGAGGAUAAUGGUGACAAACAACAAUUGUUCAAGAUAAAACAAUUCUUGUUCAAACAAAGAGGAAUUGUAUUCCUGAUCAGUUGGGGGAACUGAUCCCGUCAGAGCAGAGCAGUACUAAUUACCUAAGGAGUUGGUUCAAGAGAUGUUGGUCUAUGGACUCGUAGUUAGUCGACCUGUCUCUCCUCCACCUGGAGCGGAGGUAGAUAAGCCGUUCGUCCACCUUGUAGAAGAUCCUACGCAGCAGAUAGGCGACUAACCAGCACACAUGCCCGGCGGUGUUGAUGAGAGAGGGUCGUAGGCGAUUUUCCCUGCGCAUGGCCUGCGCCGCUUCCGGAUCACCGUCCGUCGUCGGAAGCACCCGUCACCACCAACGCCGUGCCGGCUGCCAUCAAAACUUGACCGCCCAGCCCAGCAGCUGUCAGCAGCGCCGCGUCGUCGUCGUCGUUCCCUCACCGUAUCCGCUCCCUUCCAGUCCCAGCGCGCGGCGCCUGGCGGCCAGUCGGACCUCGAUCGGUGCAAUAUAAAGGCGGCGUCUGCAUUGUGAGUAGCCUAAGUGCAUAUAUCGAAGAAUCGAAUCCUGAAUGGUCAGGUCCAGAGAAACAAUGAAUGGUCAGCCCUGAAUGAUCAAUUUUGCUCAAAAAAUAAAAAUGGAAGUUCGAAGUAGCUCGGCUCACUUUGUCUUUCUGGCAUAAUAAGGGAAGGGUAAUUAAACAAAUUUGGACAAUCGAUCUGAUCAGUUGGUAGCAUGUGUACAAGUGGCAGAAACUCAUCAUUCACCACCGAACAAAGAGGACUAGCGUCUUGCGAUCUCCGAUCUCUGAUCCUCAGCUCGACUGGUUAUUUGAUGGAUGAUGGACAGGGAACUGAUGAUUUCUACCUCUUGUUAAUUAAACCAAACGUCUCCAAAUUCUCAAAUUCGAUCCACCUUGGAGCCCCGCGCUGCCUGAAUCCUAAGGAAAUUCGAUGAAGAUGACGUGCGACUUUGAUGUUUGAUUUGAAUGGGUGUAAGUAUACUGCGGUUGUCCGAGUACGAAUCGGAGGAGAAAUCGAAGCCAUAUGCAAUUGGGGUUAACCUCCACUAAUAGACGUAAUUUAGCCAUUUUUCUAAUGCACGUUCAAAAAGCCCCUAUAGCUCAGUGGUAGAGCGUCAGUCUUGUAAACUGAAGGUCCGUAGUUCGAUCCUGCGUGGGGGCAUUUUAAUUUUGCUUCAUCCUUUUUAACAUGUAUUUCGCCACUUAUAAACCGGUUAUUAUAUUAUUAUUACUCGGUAUAUAUGUCACUGCAUUUACACACAAAAUGCCACUGCAUAGAUAUGUUGCCAAUCUUGGCGCAAAUAAUCUGCCUAUGUUCAUAUAAAAUUAUUUUUUCUCAUAUUCUUCUGUUGCUCAUCUCUCGGCCAUAAGUUUUAUGCCAUUUAUUUAGAUUUAGGCAUUUACAUGCAAAAUGCCACAAAGGUACAUCGUCAAACUUGGUGCAAUGAUGUGCUUGUGUUCAUAUAAAUUUUUGUUUCCCUUAUAUUACUGUGAUGUUUUUUCCACUAGCAAAUAUGCACGUGCGACACGCACGUGUUUUUCAAAAACACCAUUGCACAAUUAAUGUUAUGUUAGAGCAUUCCUUAUUUCUCAAUGUAUAUAUCAAUAAAAGCGUCAAUAAAAUCUCAAUAUUGUCUAGAAGAUGGAUAAAAAUAUGUGUUUAUAUAUAUUAGCAAAGAGCAUUAACGAAUUAGCAAUAUAACGAAGAUUGGAUAAGAAUAGAAAAAAACUAUAUAUUUAUUAAAUUAGAAGUCGUACGUGAGAUCGAGUCCUACGCGAGGUGAUGUGAGAUUGAGUCUUAGGUUGAGAGGAGUCAUACAUGAGAUAGAGUCGUACAUGAGAUCGAGUCCUAUGCGAGAUGAUGUGAGAUUGAGUCUUAGGUUGAGAGGAGUCUUACAUCUUAUAUGUAAGAUCUUGGAUAAUGGAGGGCUCACAUAGUACGUCGCUUAAAUCGAACGGUUAUUAUGGAGAGAGAGCCAUCUUAAAAAGACUCGCUCUUUUAUAGUGUGAUGAUGAUGAUGAUGAAUAUGAAUAUAAACACUUUUCAUCUUCACUUAAAGCUCUUCGUCGAGACACCCACCCAUCUAACAUAAUGAACAAAUGUGUUGUUGGCCUGUUCAUAUGCAUGCACUCUACGUUUCCUCUCUUUCGUCGAAGCCUUCUAUUGUCGAGACUCGAGACGUUAUAUACCUAUAACUGAAACAAUAACAAUUAGCUAAACACAACAAAUUUACGCACUAACUCGUAUAAAUUAUUAGGUGCAUUUGGAUUGAUGCACGCGGCAGCCCAGCCAAGGUUUGAGCUUAUUUACUUUGGGGACAAUGAUGGUUGUUUUGCACCCUAACGAAUAUUUGGCACACAUUUCAUUUUUCUAGCCCUCAAGUAGUUGAUUCCCAGCUCGUCCGAGUUUGGCCAGCCAAUGGUAUAAACGUGGGCAUAGUAACAAGUCACACUCAUUUAUGUUUUGAAAGACAUAAAAAUGUGAAAAUAAUCAUGCCCUAAGAAACACCGUUAAUCUGCGCCAUAUUUCGGGUCUUUCUAAUGUGGCAUAACUUCUGAGCAGCUCCAACUUUAUUAGUUUAUUUUUAUUUUUAUUUUUUUGGGUGGGUUUGAAUUACUCAUGGCUGUUCAGCAACAAUUACAUAUAUGUGUUCUAUAUGUGAGCUAAUAGCAGUCUCAGUUCCUUCAACAUAACUACACUACACAACUAACAAUUUCACAGGCGACCUUGUUAAUUAAAAUCUCUAGAACUUGAGAACAUCGAAUGGCUAUGCGAGAUGGGUUUCACUAAUAAAACAUCAAGGGUUAAAGCUGUUUUUACUUAAACAGAUAAAGCCAUGACUUAGAGCAACUCAACAAGAUUGAGUAAAAUCAAUCUUCCUUUCCCUAUACCAAGCAAUAAAGAGGACUAAAGCCAAAGAAAAACGCUCUCAAAAUUCCUUUCCCAACACUAGUUUCCUCCACACUCUUUUUCCUCUCUCAUGUCACUAACACCUAGGUCCACCAACUCGUGGAGCAAGCGCCACAACACCGGGCGCGCGUCACCAUUGAAUUCUGCGUAUGCCAAAGCUCAUAAAGCAUCGUCUUGGAUAAACCUUGUAAUGUAUUUACUGGUCAUCAAACAGUGAUAUAAGCUAGCCAGUGGGCGCCGCCGCGUCGUGCCAAAAGCUUAGGACGGUUGCGACGCCUAGCUGUUGUUGCCGCGCGCUAGGUGGUCAGCUUCUAGCCAUGGCAGCUAGAUGAUCGCCGUGAGAGAAUAUAGAUAAGAAAGAGAAAAGAGGGAGAAAGGAAAUAAGAGUGCUAAGAAUGACACAUGGGUCCAAUAAAAAAUAAAAAGGGGAAUGGAUUUUCCCUAUUUGUAAUCCAUCUUCUCUAUCUCCAGCAAUCUAGUACUCUCAUCUCUUAGGCCUUGUUUAUUUCUAAAAGAUUUUGCAAAAUUUUUCAAGAUUUGUUGUCAUAUUGAAUCUUGCAGCACAUGCAUGGAACAUUAAAUAUAAAAAAAUAAAAUAACUAAUUGCAUUGUUUGUCUGUAAUUUGUGAGACGAAUUUUUUAAACCUAGUUAAUUCAUGAUUGAAUAAUAUUUAUCAAAUACAAAUAAAAUUGCUACAAUAUUUAUUUUGUAAUUUUUUUUGCAUCUAAUCAAGACCCUAGUAGCAUCGUGACUUGGUAGAGAAAGAGGAUCGUGUUGCUCACCUCUUAGGCCUUGUUUAGUUUUCAAUUUUUUUCAAGAUUUUCGGUCGCAUCGAAUCUUUGGAUACAUAUAUAAAACAUUAAAUAUAGAUAAAGUAAAUAACUAAUUAUACAGUUUAUCUGCAAUUUGCAAGACAAAUCUUUUGAGUCUAGUUAGUCUAUGGUUGGACAAUAAUUGUCAAAUACAAACAAAAAUAUUACAGUAGCUAAAAUUUUCCACCAACUAACCAAGACCUUGUUUAGUUCAAAAAAAAUUACAAAAUGGAACUAUAGCACUUUCAUUUUUCUUUGACAAAUAUUGUCCAAUCAUGGAUUAACUAGGCUCAAAAGUUUCGUCUCGCAAAUUACGGGUAAACUAUGUAAUUAGAUUUUCUUUUUUAUUUAUAUUUAAUGUUUUAUGCAUAUGCCGCAAGAUUUGAUGUGACGAAUGAAAAAUUUUGUAUUUUUUUAAAAAAACUAAGGCCUUGUUUAGUUCCAAAAUAUUUUGGGAAAUGGGCACGAUAACACUUUCGUUUGUUUGUGAUCAAUUUUGUUCAAUCAUAGACUUAAUAGGCUUAAAAGAUUCAUCUCACAAAUUACAGACAAACUAUAUAAUUAGUUAUUUUUUAUCUAUAUUUAAUAUCUCAUAUAUGUGUCACAAAAUUUGAUGUGACUGGAAAUAUCAAAAGUUUUGUAAAAUUUUUGAGGAACUAAACAAGGCCUAAGGCCUUAACCUUUUGCGGACA
Molecule: long non-coding RNA, 70654 nt
Filed under: Sorghum bicolor (sorghum)
Lineage: Eukaryota; Viridiplantae; Streptophyta; Magnoliopsida; Poales; Poaceae
Description: long non-coding RNA (SBIC_LNC001822)
Rfam family: MIR5565 microRNA precursor family (bases 53495-53603)
Source: RNAcentral